RNAcentral lists this long non-coding RNA (70467 nucleotides) under Malus domestica (apple). The record is from RNAcentral. Lineage: Eukaryota; Viridiplantae; Streptophyta; Magnoliopsida; Rosales; Rosaceae.
AUGGGGCUCUGAUACUAAAUGUUAGAAUAAAAAAAGGAUGGAAAAGAGCUCUUGUAAACGCAAAGUCUGAUUACACUUGUAAAUUGGGAGAAUUCUUAUUGAAUUGAAAUAACACUAAUGACUGUUAAAUAGCCUUACAAUGAAAUAGGAAAAAAAAAACAACAACCCACGAUUUUACAUGGCCUAGAAUCCCUCCUAUACUUGAGGGACAAGAUUGUUUUUCCCUUUCUGACUUGUCAUACACCAACAUUCUAGGCCAUGUAAAUUAUUUUUAAAUUAUGUGCUUCUUGAGGUCGUGGAUCCUUGUUUCCCCGUUGAGUAUUUGACUUAGAGAGUUAAAAAUAGGGAUGCCAACUACUACGCAUGCAAUUACGGCACCAAUACGAGAGAGCAGAGAAGCAACAACGGUACCAUCGUUGCCAAACAAAAAAUAGUUAACCAUACUUUGCCUGGGCCGCAUGGGUUCCACUGCUAUCAGGGCUGCAUAAAAUGCCGCCAACAUGCCAGCAAUGGAAUAACUAAUAAGACUCGUAGGUGUGGGUAGAUGGGUUGACAGGACAGAUAUAGGACUGUAUUCGUUAAAUAUCGCCGACACUGAGAGAGCGAAGCAAAGCGUGUUAAAAAACAUAAAUACUUUGUAAGCUCCUUUUUUUGUUAAAACUGGUGUUCCAUCGUCUGUAAACCCUCCAGGCGGGUUCAAAACGGCCGAAAAUGUAACGGUUGCAAUGACCGUCGCUACCAGAAGUUUCGAAUCAUUUCUAUUGAAGGUCUGAGCCAAAUAAGCCUGCAAGUUUUCUCUCGUAUUUUUAGUAUUGACCGGUGUCUCAGACGUACUGCUUUCCCCUUGGGAUCCAAAUUUCUUGAACUCCUGCUUGAUUUUUUGUUGAUAAUAUGGCACGGUAACGACAACGUCUCUUGCCAGGCAGUUCAAAACAUUGCGACUUUUUACGAUUUCCUAAAACAUAAAUAAAGUACUACACUUUUAGUAAACAUAUACAGGACUUAAGAACAAUAAGGUAACGAAUUUGGAUUUAGAUAUGUUCUGCGUUUGAUUCUAUCCAAUAUAAGAAAAUAAAAUAGAGAGUUCAAAGUUGAAAUCCAAGGGAAAUAAAUAAAAGAUUCUUCCCGUGUUCUCGGCGAGCAAAAUGUCGCUAACUUGCAAAAAUUCUUUAUUGAUAGCAGUUCUGUUCAACCUCCUGUCUCUCCUUAAAAUAGCAACGAUUUCACUAUUUUCAUGAAUAGCAGCUAGAUGCCAAGGAGUGUUUCCAUCAUUAUCUGCUUCGUUUAUAAGUCUCGCAAGCCUAGGCGUCUUCAAAACGUACACUUCACAACAUUUAUCUUUUCGCCUAAAACUGCUGCAUGUAGAGCUGUUUGGCCCUUGUGAUUGACACAAUCACAAAUAUCAGGACAACGUCCGAUCAACUCUUCAAUUAUUUGGGUGUGCCCUGCAUAUGCCGCGACGUGGAGAGCUGACAUGCCAAGCUCGUCUUUGAUGUAACAAGCAAAUUUGAAAGUUUUGCAAUUUUGAAUCAGUAGUUGAGCUGCUUUAAGGUUCCCUCUCAGUGAUGCGUAGUGUAAUGGAGUCCACCCUAUUUCAUCACGAACUUCGACCAUCCCAGGAUUUUUGGUAACCAUAGAUUGCACAAUUCCUAAAAUGUUGGUAUAGAAAAAUUAGAAAUUGUGUUGCGGGAAUCAAGUAUAUAUAUGAAAAUAAGGCAUACCAAGUAACGAGUCCCUUAAGAAGGAUCUUGCGCAACGGUAGCUGGACUGAGAUGCAUAUCUCAAUCAUUAAGGAUAUAUUAUCGACUGUCAAUAUGUCAUACUCGAUAACUAAGUUGAUUAUACAGUUAUAUGUUGAUGGGAUUCCGUGCAUAAGAAGGGUCUAGUACGGUAGUACCAAGCAAUGUCAUGAAGUUAAUUACCUUUCUUGGCGAAGGGUAUACGAGUGGCUGCUGCGUGCAAAGCGGUCACACCAUUUGUUCCCUGAAAAGAAAGAGAUUCAUGAUCCGGAGUCUUUUUUAAAAUAUAAUCAGCAAUGCUGGUAGACCCGGCUCUAACAGCUAGGAACAGGGGUGACUCCUUGGUGCUGUAAAAUGAACAACACAAUUCAGGAUCAGCACUCAGCAAAAUCUUCGCUACUCCAGCAUGAUUGUAUCGAACAGCAACAUGCAGUGCUGUAUCCAUUUCCAAAUUAGGCAUUCGGAGUAGCUUUUUGUAAGCUUCACCGUCAGUUGGUUCCUUUUCUGGAUCAAGAUCAACCACUUCCAUAGGUUCCGCUUUUAUGUGCUCAAUGAGGAACGUUACUACUUCACCGCAACCUACUCUCGCGGCAACAUGUAGAGGAGUUUCGCCAUUCUUGUUGGUGGCCCAAAACCGGGGAGAUUCGGGAAUUUUUUUCACUUUUUUGAAGAAGUUUAUUUGCUUGAAUUCAGCUGCAAUGUGAAGAAUAUUGUUCUCUUUAGGUGUUUUCUGAGAGAGAUCAGCUGUUAGAAGUCCUUCCAAGAAGCCAACAUCACCAGUUGCAGCUGCUUCAUACAGAGAAGGAUUCAUGCUUCCACCUCUCUCUCAGAUUUCCUAAAAAGUAUAACGUUGAAAUAAGAACACAAAUGCAAAUUGCAAUGGAGGAUUUGUGAACCAUAUAUAGGUCACUUACAGGAGGUUGCCAAUUGCAUGCCAAGUAGGCAAGUAGCCAUGCCAAGUAGGCAAUGCCUACUACCAUUCAAAACACUUGUGCCGUCCACCAUUCAAAACACUUUGUUUAUUUUUUCUUCUCUUCUUGUCAGUAACCCAUUCAAAACUUUUAUUUUUUAUAUUAUUUUUCUUUCUUUUUCCCACAUGGUGCCGGGCACCAUUCAAAACUCUUUGUUUAUAUUAUUUUUUAUCCUUUUCGGUGUCAGAAAACAUGUGCUUGUGUUUAUCUCCUAACAUUUUUUAAUCUUAGAUUUUUGUCCACUACAAACCUUAUCCAAAGCAGAUGAGAGACGUGAGGCAGGGAAGGACAAAACAGACUUCUUGCUGUAGCAAAGUGUGAACAGUACGGAACCAAAGCAGAAACCAAGUGCAUUCCCGCUCUUUAACUGUUGGUGAACAGUACACGCUCUCACAUAAUGAACAGUGCCAAUCAACUGGACUUUAGCAUGUAUAAAUAUAUAUACACACACAUAUAUAUUAUGGUUGUUGUAUUUUAUAGUUAAAUUUUAUUAAUAAUUUAAAAAAUUAAAAUCAUCGAAAUAAUUUUUUUUUAACGUAUCAAAACGAUUUACCAACGUGUCAUCCUCGGAUAAACUUGUUAAGGAUACAUUAUUAAUAAGUUCUUAUCGUGUAAUCCAAUAACAACCUAAUUAAUUAUUGUGUUGAUCCAAAAUUCUUUAUUUUUAUGUUUAUGUGUCGUGUUAACAAAUCAUGUAAAAAAAAUGUCCGGUUUACUUUUCAACUUUAAAUUAUUAAUUCGUUCAAUGUUGGUGUCUUUGUCUUUUGGGUUAAAAAAUGCACUGUCAACUAUCAUUGUCAUCGAAUAGUCUGUCAGUCUUCCAAGGAAACUUGUAAGUAUUUUCGUCCGGAAAACUGCCAAAACCAAGAUCACAAUUUCUGUCAAAGUAUUCCAUAAACGUGAAUAAUUAGUGAAUUAAUGCGUUAUAUGAAAAUGCAUACAUUUACUAUUUGGUCUUGGCAGAAAUUGUGAUGCAAUUUCUGGAACGAGAAUUCUCUCCGAAUUCUCUUUGUGAGGAUUCCGAAAAUUCUUCAAUCAUGUCUGUUCAUCAUAUAUGAUAUGAUCAUUUUUUGUCAGGUAUUAUUUGUAUUUAAUUUUAAAUAAAAAAAUUAAAAUACUUUCUGACAGCACGAUAUAUGAUAAACGGAUACGAUUAAAAGAUAUAUGGAAUCUUCACAAAGAAGAUUAAAAAAGAAUCCUCAUUCCGAUUUCUGAAUGGACUUGUCAAAGUCCCGUGUUGUCUCCUACCAUGAAAUUCAAACAUGUCACAUGGGCUCAACGCACUUAGCUUAAACUAGAAAAUGUGUGCGUGCUUUGUUGCGGACAUUGAAUGUAUUAUCCACAGACACACGUGAAUAAUUUCCACACAAAGUAACUAAAAAGAUGGGGUAUUACCUAAGAACCAAUGAAGUGAAACUUUGCUUGCUAUGUAUGGAUAUGCAUGCUAUAAGAAACCAUUCAUUUGUAGAUCAUAUUGCGUCAUCAGUAUUAUACUCAUACUCUCAGGUGAUCAGCCUACUACAUGAGAAAAACACAGAAAAGGCAAAUCACAAAAGUAGAAGACAACAUUUGAGCAUCUAGCAAGAAUAGUUAGUUUUUGAAAAAAUUGCUAAACAGUCUUACAAAUUCAAUUGUUAAAUGUUACACUAUGACCUAAGAUAAAAAUAAAGUAUAGGAAACUUUAACGAAAAAUCACAUUUUUACACUAAAAAGUCAAUCCUAAUACUAUUCCCUUUACCCUUUAUUUUGUCUUUAUCGUUAAAACUCAGUUUUCAAAUCAUUUUCAUUAGUUUUCCUUAGUUUUCCUUGAAGUUAUAUAGUUCAUUCACAUAUCAAAACAAAGUGCGAUCAAAGGAAAAUGAUUAAGAAGUUGAAAAUACAAAACUGGAUUAGGCAACCAUAUCUUUUAUCGGUAACUAAACAAAUAAUUUAGAAUUGUACAAACCCGAUUCUAGCUCAUCUACCUCCUCUCAUCCUCAGCUCUGUAUUUCAAAGGCUGAGUAGCCACGUUUGGAGAAGUUAUCAAAUAAUCACCAUCUGAAGAUUGAGAAUAACCUCCAUUCACAUUGCAAAUUUUUUUUUAGAAAAUGGGACAAAUUAACAUAUUUAGAGUUAAUUAUUCUGAUGCAAACAUUCUUAAGAUAAAUUAAGUAGAAAAAAUGUAACGAAUCCAAUGAAAAAACAGAAGGAAAAUGAUUUAAAGAAAAGUUAAACUUUAAAUACAUCACAUUAGUGAUUAAUCAACUAGAUAGUUAGUCUCAAACCAGAGUCUCAAUGAUCUCGCAAUACCAGGGACAUCACUCUCCCUGUUAACUCUCAACUACCUCAACUCCAUCACUCUCCCCCCCAUUGUUUCUAAUUCACCUCUCCUUCGAACUCUUCGACUACAAAUUUAUAUAUAGCAACUUGAACUGUCCAUUUCAAAUCAUAUAUACAUAGGCAGAAAAGCAAAAACUAAAUUCCUGCCGCAUAAAUUAAUUGGUAACCAAACAAAGAAAAAUUCUUGGAGACUGGAACAAAUCCAAUUGAAUUUUCAUGAAACGUAUACUUAAGUGCCCAAAAUUUGAGUUUUACAUCAUAUUAUGUUCUUACAAAAACAGUUUCUCGGCUGCUAGGUAAUUUCUGUGGCUUUUGAUCAAUAGUUGUACUUAUAUACCCAAAAAAAUAAAAUAGUCAAACACAAAUGAAAGAAAGACCUAUCAAAUUAAUAAGAAAUCCAAGUUAGAGUUGUUAAAAUUCACUUUUAUCUAUACAAUUCAAACUUCCACACAUUUGUUCAUACACUUCACCAACUGUCAAACACUGCUAAUUACCAAGAUAGCAAGAUAAUGAAUUCUGUGAACAAAAAAAUGAAAAAUGAUAUGCAAUUUGAACUUACAUGCCAAAGAAGCUCCAUAAGAGUAGUAGCUUCCUACUUAUUGCAUGCAUCAAAAGCAUUGCAACCGCAGAUCCUGAAAAUUAUCAAAAUUCAUCGAGUCAAGAGGCAAUAUCAUAGUUGUGUGAAGGUGAAUAUGCAACCAAUAAUCUAAGAUAUACCUGACAAUUUUGCAAUUCCGUUGUAAUUUCACACAAAAAAAAUAUCAAAUUUUGAUUCAAACAUCAAACAAAAUAAUCCCACCUGUUACAGAUUGGACCAACGAAAUAAAGAAUCUAUUAAUAUGAUUUUCAACCUAACUAUAAAAAGGAGCUUUAUAACUAUCAAUAUAAUUUCAACCCAUCUGAAAAGAAACUGAUUGUGUGUCAUAAAUUCUAUGGGUAAUUUGAUUUUGCAGAUUAAAAAGAAUUGAAGAAUACUAAAAAUUACAAAACCCUAUCACAACAUACCAUCAGCGAUGAAUUAAAUCCAAAUGUAAACUGCAGUUUCUUAUAGAGCAUAUCCAAAAGUAAAUUGCAGUUUCCUAUCUCUCCGAGCAUCUAAACAGAAACUGUAAUUCAAAACUCUGAUUUCAAUAACCCAAAAAGUUUAAAUUGCUUACCGUUCUCUUGACUGUGGAUUACAUUAAGUAUAUGGAGUUUAAAAUUUAAAAACAAAAAGACAAAAAAACAAAAAAACAGAUAACAAAUAGGGAGUAAGAUCAAACAGUGAGUGGUUCAAUUAACCUUUUUCUGUUGGUCGCGUCUGUGAAUCCUUUAAUUUGCAGAAUGAGCUUGGGAACUCUUCCCAAAACUCCCACAAUCAACGCACCUGCGUCAAAAGGGAAAGGAAAAACAGUUGAAUAUUUGAACUGCACCAAACAGAUUGAUUGAUAAAAAAUAAACGAACAUGACACGACCAAUGAAUUUCACCAAACGGGAAGUAAUAAAAUAUUGGACACUGAAUGAGUUGGAAUAAAAACACAACUGCAUUUUCUUAUUCUUCUCCCACAUUCAUGAGGCUUCUUUUUCAUCUUUUUCUCUUCUAAUUUCAAAGAACACAACAAUUAGCACAGCCUGCUAUAAGGUAGAGGAAGCAUAUGAGUCUCCUCAAAAUGGAUGUCCAAGGCUGACCCUUAUGCAGAAGGAAGCAUGGGAAGCAUAAAUGGGAUAUCAAGAGACGAUCUCAAGUAAAUUUGCAACACAAAACCCAACCAGCAACAAUUUGUUCAUGACAUCUUAAAACAUCAAAUUUCAAAACAGGACAUUUAAUGCAAAGAGCUCAAACUAUAAUAAUUGGUGAAUCAAAUAUUUUCUAUUGAAUUUAUCCUUUCAAUUGGUUGGUAUUUUCGUUUAUUCUCGUAUCUUUCAAUUGUCACCCAAAACUAACAUCUGAGAGAGCAUUGCACUUCUUAUCUUUAAAAGCACGAAUGGUGAACUAAAUCAAAGAAUAAGAAUCAGCAAUGAACUAAACAAAAACACACUUUUUACGAACAUUAUUCGCACAAAAAUUAAAACUGUAUUGAGAAACUCACCACCCCAUUUCUAAUGAAUGACGUAUGAUGAUAGGAACAUCAUACGGUGAAUUGCAUAUAAAGUAAAACAUCAAGUAUACCUCGAGGCGACAUUAGAUACGAUCAUUAUCCAAUCUUCAUCUUUGACACCAAGAGCACUCAGCAUCUCAGAAUUCCUCAUCUCCCUACCCUCACAUAGCAACUUCUGCUGCUGAAGUAGUACCCGUGUCUGCUCAUACGCAUCGAAAAACAUCACACAUUCAAUAUACAUUUCUCUAUUAAUUAAUCAGCUAACUAAAUUUAAAAUUAGUUUUCAAACCAAAAAAAUUUCUAAAUUUUUUAUUUUGCAAUCACACCCAGUUCUUCAUCUCUUACUCUAAAUUCCAAUUACAAAAAAAUCUAAACUUUACUUCAAUUUAAUAUUGUUUUCCCCAAAAACAGCACAAUCCCAUAAAAAUAAAGUUUAAAAAAAACAACAAUAAAUCAUGAAUUAAAUUAAACUUCUCACCUCCACCUCCAACAUAGCUUUCACAUUCUCAACCUGUCAUAAAAAAAAUCAAAUCAAAUUCAAGUAAAAAUAAAAAAGAGAACUUGAAUAAAGCAACCCUAGUCCACCCAGUUCUUCGUCUCUUACUCUAAAUCCCAAUUACAGAAAUAUCUAAACUUUACUUCAAUUUAAUAUUGUUUUCCCCAAAAACAGCACAAUCCCAUAAAAAUAAAGUUUAUAAAAAAAACAACAAUAAAUCAUGAAUUAAAUUAAACUUCUCACCUCCACCUCCAAUAGAGCUUUCACAUUCUCAACCAGUCAUAAAAUAAAUAAAUAAAUAAAUCAAAUCAAAUUCAAGUAAAAAUAAAAAAGAUAACUUGAAUAUAGCAACCCUACUCCCCCUCCUUCUCCCUCUCCCUCCGCAAUUCACGCGUGCACCCUCUCCCUCUGUAACCCUCCCCCUGUGAAACCCCUAAACCCCACGCAUAUGCCCUAUAUCUUGUGGCUACAACCUCACAAAUCGUCCCCAUCACCUCGAUCCCAUCGAACCACAAAUCAGGCACAAUUUAUGAGAGUAAUUGUAAAAAUGGAUAAAACACUUUCAAUAAAAGUUUUAUAAAAAAAGCUUUUCAAUCCAACACCAUCCAAAACCAUAAAAGAACAGAAUAAAGACACCAAAAGUAAAAAAUAAAUAAAUUUCCACAUAUUCAACUUUCACAGUAUAGAAACACACAACUUUCACGAUAUUAAAAAAAAAAAUUGUUGGAGAAAAGGCUCAAAGGAAAAAUCCAAAAUUAUUUACCUUGAGCAUAAAGGGCUUUGAAAGAUGUAAACAAAAGCCCCAAAAAAACGAAGAGCAUAGUGACCUGAAAUAAAAAAAUAAAAGCAAAUUAUACAACCGAAAGAUCUAAUGAUAUAAACAAAAUACCCAAAAUUAUAAAAACUAAAUUACAAAAAAUGAAGAACAAUGUGUUCUGAAACGAAAAAAAAAAGAAAAUCAUAUGCCCAAAAUUAUAACGGACGAUUUCAUAUUUUGUAGAUAGAUGACACUCCCUUUUGUCAUGUAUGAUAAAUAUUCAAAGUUAUAACAUCUCAAUUCCACAUAAGGCAGUACACAAACCUUUGGAGAGAUGCCAGUGGACAGUCAAAAGCUGGGUCUCGUGUUGUGGCAACGACUCAUGCUGCUGUUCAUCGAUCACUGCAAAAGAACGCAAAGUUCUAUAUUGCUAUAGUACAUACUAGAGAUUUAUGCCCACGCGUUGCUGCGGGAUUGGAAAUUGUAUCAAAUGGUCUAGAUUAAAACAAUCAAUUCAAUCAAGAUCCAUAUUCUCAACAAACAAACUGUAACGGAGAACGUGAUAGGAUUUGAUCACAAUGCACAGCGGAAUCAACAACUAAUAUUCAACACUACACAAUCCAAAACGGUAAUGAUAUUAAGUUUUUUUUUAAACCUGAUUGUACUAAGUGAUUCUUUCAAUAAUAUGAUAAAUUAAAUAAAAUGAUCACUACCAAUAGUUUAGAUUACAACAAUCAAUUGAAUCAAGAUCCAGACUCCAACAGGACAACUAAAAGCAAAGAGUUGAGAGAAGAAACAACACAAAUGACUGGUUCCCCGAAAACCAUUUAAGUAGAGUUAAAAAAAAGGGGUUAGUCAUGACCAAAUUUAAGAAGUCACUAAAACCAAAGCUCAAUUGCAAACCUCCUUGUAUUCCAUGUAUGCAAUGACUCUACUAAUAUGUUCACAGUCAUGUUGACCUGUAUAAAGAAAAACUCAUUUAGUUCAUAGCAAAUUGUGAGUCAUUCUGAAUAUAAAAACUUGCUUUUUCAAUCACCCAUCUAAAUAAAAAAAUCAACUCCAAAAUUGAUGGUCAGAAGUAUAACUAAAUGAAAUGGGAAAACAGUUCAAGAACCUGCCAAUGUCAAGUACUAUGACUUUGUGGGAUUAAAAAUUGUAUGAAAGAUUGUGUCAUAGAAUAUUACUAAAAUUUACAUUGAAAACGUUAGAAAUUUUUUUACAUACAAUAUACUCAUUUACAAAAGAAAACAGAGCCACUGAAACGAACAGGGAUAUCAACCAAUCAUCGCAGUACAAAACCAGUAAAUACAGCAUUCACAGAACUGAGUGACUCUUACACAAUCCAAACAUAGAAUUUUAGCUUGUUGGUAUCAGAUGAUUAACUCUAAUUACACUAACGCGGACACUAUCUCUGAAGAAAACUAAAGAGAAGGACAAAAGUUGUGAAGAGUUAUCAACCAAAGUACAAAGACCAUAAAGCAUGAAAUGUUAAAGAAGAGCAGAUUUCCUCGCAACUGAUGCAUAUUGCUGUCAUAGCUCUGAGAAUAGCUAACCAAACCAAUCUAACUCUAAAGGCAGCCAUCAUAAAUUAGAAAGCUCAUUCGACAAAAGGCUAUAUUAAAAAAAGGUUCAUGUAUAUGCCCAAUUAUACAAACAAUUUUGCUAAGGAAUGCCUUUCCAACCUCCUCCUACAGCAACAGACUCUGCAUGUACAAUUUGAUAGUGUUUCUACCAGAUAAUAUAGCCAAUGGGAUUAACAAUCAUUAAAGUUGACCCUCCACUACAACUAUACAUUCUGCUAUACAUUCAUUCUCUUGCAAAACGUUCAAAAGGAUGAUAGAAAAUCUUGUGUAUAUAAAUUAUAGCCGAUGGUAUAUGUCAGUUCUCUUCUACCAUUACAACCAAUGAGAUAUAUACAUUCUCUUCUACCAUUAAGAUAUAUAAGAAAAUAACUAUUUAACUGAAAAUGAAGAUCUAAAAGCUAGCCACUGUACAUGUUCUGUCCAUUCUAUUCUACCAUUGAAGCAUGCAUGUUAAAAAAAAUUUGUAAAUCUAAACGCUUAUUUCAAACAGAGCAUGUCCAUUCAGCUCUUAAAACCGAAAGAAAAGAUUUAGGUUUCUUUCUUACCCAAAUCCACCAAUUUGAAUCAAAUCUCUGCAACCCUUCCAAUCAAAUGCAAAUUAAUACAACUCUGCAAUCAAUAAACAAAACCCACAUAAAAAAUUCAACAAAGAAAGAGAAUCCAGAAACCAAACCUAUCAAUCAAUUCCUAAAUCAACAAUAAAAAAAAAUCAAUAAAUUAGUAUCUAACUCCACAAAUAAACAAAGCCCAUAUCAAAUAAUUCACAAAAAUUUAUUACAACUAAAGAAUUACCUUCCAAGGGAUGGAGAUUCCAAGUAGGCUUCCAAUAAUGAUCUGAUCGAUAAGAAAAUACUUGUAGGUCAUGGGAUAUCACUUUGAGAUUUUCAUGGUUUACCUUUUCUUUUAAAAUGGGUUAAUACGUGAUCAUCCAGUCCUCCAACUUUCUGUUUCUCAAUCUUCUGCAAGAGGAUUGAAAUCAGAACCAUUAAGUUUCAGAAGAAACAAAGUCGACAGGAAAAAAAUGGUGUCUCCUACAUCAAACAAUGAAAAUGCAAAUUCCUUGGGCGUAAAAGAAGGGAAGCGUGGAAUGCUUACUCAAGCUCAAUUGAAGUUGAAAGGGUCAGAGACAGAAACAGAAGCCAAGGAGGAGAAAUAACGGUCAACGCCAAAUUUGUGGGUGAGGCGAGUUCGAGAGCGAUAGAUUCAGAUUUUUUUUGUUUUGAAUAUAUAUACAACUAAUUUACCAUUCAAUCAUAUUAGUGGAAAACAAUUAAACCGUAAAAUUAACAACAAUUAAAUCUUAGGAAGACCAAAUUUCCUGUAAUUUAAAAAACCCAUAUGAAAAGCUGUAGACAGUCACCAUCCAAAACCGUAAAACAACACAACAAAGACACCAAAAUUAAAAAAUAAAUAAAUCCCACAGAUUCGACUUUCACACUAUAGAACACACAACCUUCACAAUAUUAAAAAAUAAAAUUUGUGGCAGAAAAGGCUCAAAGGAAAAAACCAAAAUUAUUUACCUUGAGCAUAUUAACGGCUUCCAAGCUUGUACACAGAUUCCCCAAAAAAUGAAGAUCAAAGUGACCUGAAACAAAAUACAGAAGCAGAUCAUACAACCAAACAACAUAUCUAAGGAUAUAAACAAAACACCCAACAUUACAAAAACUAAAUUCCCAAAAACGUAGAGCAACGCGUUCUGACACGAAAAACACAAACAAAUCAUCGACCCAGACAACGGAUCUAAUGAUAUAAAGAAAAUACCCAGAAUAAGAAAAGAAAAGAAAAAAAGUCAUUCACAAAUCCCACCCCAACAUGGAAAACUACCAAAAAAAAAGUCAUUCAGAAAUGAAGAUAAAUAGAACCUUAAUAUGGAAACUGAAGCUUUACCUGCAGAUCGGCAACGGCAAAUGAAAUCCAGCGGGUACCUCUAGAGUGAGAGAGACUUACAGGGAUCGCAGACAAAAACAGAGAAUAACACCAAAAAAAUGGGUACUGACUCGGGUUUUAAACGCAAGAUGCAGCAACUAUUUAUUUUUCAAAGCGUUUUAAACGCAAAAAAUUUGCACAGAUGAUUUGGCUAAGAAAAAUGAGAAAGAUGAGAAAAUCGAAAACGGAGAAAACGAAAGCUUGAGAGAGAAAGAAAGGCAGGCGGAAAAACAGGGUGAGGGGUGAGGGGUGAGGGGUGAGGGAGAGAGAGAGGGGGACAGAUGGGAGAGGCAGAGAGCAGUGAGGGAUGAGAGAGAGUGACAAUGUUGGGAGAUGGGGAGUCUCAGGGGUGGAGAAAAUAUUAGAUAGCAAAAACCAAACACACUUUUCAUAUGUUCUAAUCAUUUUUUUUCUCUCUAAACCAAUUUUUUUAUUAUUUGUUAUCCUUUUCGAUGUCAGAAAACAUGUGCUUGUGUUUAUCUCCUAACAUUUUUUUAAUCUUAUUUUUUUGUCCAAUACAAACCUUAUCCAAAGCUGAUGAGAGACGCGAGGCAGGGAAGGACAAAACAGACUUCUUACUGUAGCAAAUUGUGAACAGUACGGAAACCAAAGAAAAAACCAAGGGCAUUCCCGCCCUUUCACUGUUGGUGAAUAGUGCACGCUCUCACAUGAUGAACAGUACUAAUCAACUGGGCUUUAGAGCAGCUCCAGCGGGAGCUCGUGCUCGAGGGACAGGCUGCGGAACAGGACUUGAUUGCCCGAGGGAAGAAGUCCAGCGUUGGCUGACGAGGGAGCCCAAGCAGGACCGAGCGCCAGACCCGUGGAUUCGUGCCGGCCCGAGCGCCCAAAGGGGAUGUGACGUGGGUUGACGUCCCUGACAUCAGCCACAAUAUAAAAUUAAUAAAAAUACAAAAAUAUUAAUACAAAAUACAAAAUUAAUACAAAAUUUAAAAAAAAUGAAAACCCAGGCUUCGAACUCAACGGCUCUCGCCGGAGUUCGUCGUCGAGGUUGAUGAUACACCCACAAACAAAUGGCAGAGACUAAACCCAAGGGUUUCAACUCGAAACAUAUAAAAAAACAAGAGAAUAACUCAAGCAAUUGAAGUAGGGCAAUAACCUCAUCUGGGUUUGAGCAAUGGAAGCUUGAAGCUCUCGGCUUCAAUGGUGGAUCACCCAAAUGGUGCUGUGAUGAUGCAUGCAAGGAUAUAUUCGAAUUCCUCUCAUCCAGGGGAUUGAGAUUUCAGAGUUUGUUGGUUUGAUUUGCUUCGGUUUCGAAGAAGAGGAAGGAUGAAAAGGAAAAUGAAGGAUAUAUGGAUUGGAAUCUAAGCUUAUGCCUUGGCGUCGGUCCAUUUUUUUAUUCAUAUGAGAGAGAGAGAGAGAGAGAGAGAGAGAGAGAGAGAGAAUAAGAAAAGGGAGAGUGUUCUGGAAAAAAAAUGAAAAGGAAGAGUUCUGGAAAAAAAAUGAAAAGGGAGUGUUCUCUAAAAAAAAUGAAAAGGAAAAGGAAUAGGAAAAAGGAAAAAAAUUAAAAAUUAUUUUGUAUUAUUUUAUAGAUAAAAAAACUAAUAUUUUAUUACCUAUUGCCAAGGCUAUUCAAGUGCAACGGUAGAGAUGCAAAAGGCAGUUACUGUUCAUUAAGGGCGAUUACUGUUCACAUAGUGGAUUGAAUAGUGAAUAGCCUGGGGAAAGGGCUCCUGGAGUAGCUCUUAGUAUAUAUAAAUAAAUAUUGAAUCAAUUCCAAAAGGGUAUUUAUAGUAAAAAAUAAGCCUCAUAUACUUUUUCUUAGAAUGUCAGCCCCAUACUUCUUCGUAAAAACAUUAACAGUAGCUAUAGCCUGUAAAAAUAGAAAAUCAAUUAUUUACCUGCAUCAUCACAGAAUGGCAGCCACAAAAAUUACCCAGGUAAAAACUGAAUGGAAAAAUUACCUAUCUAAUGCCUUCAGAGAGGCAUGAGAUCUUUUAUCAGUGCAAAAUUGAUUUGACAUCAUUUUGUAAAAAAAAUUAGAAAGCAUAAAAUAGAUGAAAAUUAAGGCUUACAUGGUGAACAUUAUUUUUUUGCUUGUCAUACCAUUGAAUUUUUAUUGCAUUCGCAGAUGAUAUACAGGGGUUGUCAAAGCAAAAGAUAUAUGUUCUCAAAUUGUUAAUGGAAAUGGAAACACAAAGGAAAACAGUUAUUCAUAUCUAAUGACCAAAUAAAACAGGUGCAUAAUAUAUGUUCUAACCAAAUAAAAGUAGGCCGACUUGGUACCAUUUAAGAAAGCCCGAUCCGCAUUCACCACAUCUACAUAUAGUAGCAUUUAUGGGAAACGUGAAAAUCAUUGUUGAUAUAUCAUAUAUCAACAACAAUCCUUAUAGAGAUGUGACAACAAACCAACUUGAACGAAAUGUAGUCAGAUCGAUUGGCGAAAGUUAUUAUCCAUUUCGUAUCCUGCUUUAGCACUGGAAAGAGAUGCUUUAAAAUAUUUGCUGCCCUUUCACCCAACUAUGAACAAUCAAGAAAAGAAAAUCAUAUUCAAUAGAACAGUAACUACGCACGCCAACUCAUAAAGAUGUGCUGAUGCAGUGAUAUCAGUGUGCAUAAGAUUAAGACGUAGCAGGAGUGGAUGGAUCAUAAUUAAUAAGCAUUAAUCAGGGAUGGAGAGAGAAAAAGAGAGAAAGAGAGAGAGAUAGAGAGAGAGAAUUAUAUCACAAUCAAGGUAGGUUAUCAACUAUAAUCAAUCAUCCUCAUCCCUGAACCGUUAUAAACUAUCUCUAAUUGGAUCAAUGGGGUCUGAUCAAUCUUGGCAUAAUGUACGGAGUAAAGUAAGCAAUCAAGAUGCUGAAAUAUUUAAUUGAGAUAUAAUACCUUGGUUGUGAAACUGUCAAGUAUCAGAUGUGGAUAAACAUGCAUUCACGUGGCUUCCCUUUCUCCAGCCAAAACCACACAGCAUCAUGCUCAUCCUCUGCGAUUAAAAUACAACAACGAAAAAAUCAAAAUGAUAGCAAUUCAAAAUUUAAAAGAAUCAUUUUUUUUAAAUGAAUCAGUGAGCAAGCAUAGAUUUGCACAUAGAAAGAGAAAAGAAACAAGGAAGAUAUGAAUACCCACUCUCUGUCACCCAUCUGCAAGCCCACCCACCCUGUCAACCAAACUGUUUGAGAUGGACGAAACCCCAACCCCCAACUCUCCUAAGGAUGCAAUCAGAGCUUCGGGUUUCAGGAAGCAAAUGAAAAACGAAGUGCGUUUUCAUCCCCCACCCUUUCUACGAUCGUCGACACGUGCACGAGAGAAGCGGUGGCAAUUUCGUAAAUAAAUCAAAAUUUUCAAUCUGAAACGGAAAGGGUGGUGGCAAUUUUGUAAAUAACUCAAAAUCCACCCCAAGUCACUGUUCAUUUGUACAGUGCAAUUUCUUCUUCUUCUUCUUUUUUUUUUUUUUGGACAAAGGCUUACUUUAUUUAUUGGGUAAAUAUCAGUUUACUACUCUCAAGUUUCGUGGUUUUCAACAUUUGGUAUAUGAAGUUUUUUUCGUCUCAGAGUCAUACCUAAAGUGUUAAUUUUGGGACAGUCUCCUACAUCUGUUAGUUUAACUAUUAAAUCAGCAGUUAACUGAUGACGUGGCACCAUGUAGACAAUGACUGGGCGCCACGUGUCAAUAUAACGCCCACGUGAAUAUUAAAAAAUUUAAAAUUAAAAAAAAAAUCUAGGCACCCACCCAUUCUCCUUCCCCCCCUCCCUCUCCCUUCUUCUCCCUCCCUUCUCUUCCAUGCACCCAUCGUCCCCGCACACCCACUCAUUCCCCUUAUUCUCCCUCCAUUCUCUCCUCUGCACCCACCCACCUCGCACACCCACCCACCUAAAAUCAAACCACAUAAAAAAACACAAAUUUCCCCCCAAAAUUUCUUACCAUCCAAAUACCCUCUGCUUCCCCCUUUCUCUCUCCUAGGUUUUAUUUGUAUCCCUUACAUCCCACACUUUCUCGCGCUUUCCCGGAAAAAUUUUCAUCUUCAAAUCUUCAACAUGAGGCAAUAGAAAGGUAUGCCGCCUUAUUGGGACCCGCCAACUCCGUUCGUCGAGCUUUCAAAUGAUUCAAAUCGCAGCUGGUUUGGAGAAAGAGAUCGCUAUGAUGAACAGCGAUUUUGGAUUGGAUGGAAAAUCGGAUGCCACUGGAGAGGCUGAGGAAGCUAGAGCUCCGGUUUCCUAAGGCGCGUAGGUAAAGAUGGAGCUAGGUUUUGCCAAUGAAGCUUGAUUCGGGAAGUAAGGUUGGCGGAAGAUCUGAGGAUGAUAGGGCUAGGGUUGGUACAGAGAGUGAAGUUGGAAAUGUAGAUAAAGUGAUGGAAUCGAAUGGUUUUGGAAGCAUGGUGGCAGAGUAAAGGGUCACUCGGGUCUCAUAGGGUUGGAGAGAGAGAGAGAGAGGGCGGAUGGGUGGGUGUGCAAUGUGAGUGGGUGUGCAGGGAGGGUGAGUGCAGAGGAGAGAAUUGAGGGAAAAUGAGGGGAAUAGGUGAGGUGUGCGGCCAGGAUGGGUGCAGGGAAGAGAAGGGAGAUAUGAGGUCGGAAAUGAGGGGGAAUGGGUGGGUGCCCAGAAUUUUUUUUAUAAUUUAUAAUUUAUAAUUUUUUUAAUAUUCACGUGGACCCCAUAUUGACACGCGGCGCCCUAGUCAUUUUUCACAUGGGUGCCACGUCAUCAGUUAACGGUUGAUUUAACAGUCUAACUAACAGAUGUAUAAGAAUGUUCCAAAAUUAACACUAUAAGUAUGACUCUAGGACGAAAAAAAACUUCAUAUACCAAAUGUUGAAAACCACGAAACUUGAGGGUAGUAAAUUGAUAUUUACCCUUAUUUAUAACACAACAUAUUACAUUAUAGAAGGCUCAAAUACAAGAAAUACACAAACAAAAAGAUGAACCUCUAUAGUAACCUAACAGCCCAAAACAUAGUUUUGAGGCCUGAACAGGAAAAACACCAAAGUAAACCCUAGCAGCUUCCUACCUCCGCCGUCAACCCGCUUACCAAACAAACAGCCUCUGCAACCAUCACAAAUCAACAGAACUAAAACCCCAAAGCUGGAUGAAAACGUAUGAAAACAAGACCCCAAAACAGAGCCCCAAACUCUUCCACAGUAGACCAUAACAGUAGCUGACACAAAUUGAAGGAAGCUAGCGGGACAAAACCUAUUAGCAUAGUGGCAACAAAGGCAAACCAAAGGAAGGAGGUGGUGUGAACACUCGAACAAAAGCUUUACUCACCUUCCAGGAGAAGCGUGAAAAAUCACGUUGAAAAAAAGUGGGAGCCAAGCCGAACUGUGAAGUCGGAGAAGGAUAAAGCCGAUCCAGAUUGGGGAACGUGGGGGAAAAUGUAACACCCACCCCCAUUUAUAAAAAUAUAAUUAUGUAAUUACCCCCAAAAUAUUAUGAAUCUAUCAAUUUUGGUCCUUUUUUACUACCAAUGAAAAUCUGAAAACAUUGGAUUCUUUCUUCCUCAAGCUGCCACGUGGCAGCACCCCCUUCACUCCUCUCACUUCUCUCUCUGUCCCCCCCCCCGUGAUCCCCUUCCUUAUUCUUCUUCUUUUUUGUCUGUCCCGUCUCUCUCCCUCUCGGAUAUCUCUCAUUUCUCUCUCUCAUCUCUCUCAUCUUUCUCAUCUCUGCACUGUGAACCCACACACACGCACACCAUCGCACAUGCUCGAAGUAGACACCCAUCACCAUCGCGUCCUGUUCUCUCUCUCUCGUUUCCGCCAACCCAAAAAACCAAAAAAAUGAGCUCCGGCGAGAUUUUUCAAUCUCAGGUUAGGUAAGCGCCAAAUCUUCCCUUUUUCGUCCUAGAAUCUGGUGAAAUGUGGUUUAAUGGAGUUUAUUUCGUUAUUUUUGGAGGUUUUUAGGACGAAUCGAACUCGGGUGUAGGAACACCCAUUUCCGGCGAGCUGUGGGUGUCGGGGGAGAUUCCGACCAUCUUCGGCCGUUCCACGACGAAAUGAAGGUAUAGAAUUACUCCAUUCGUCUUACUCUUCGUUUUGGUACCUAGAUUAGAGUCUAGGGUUGUGUUUGGUGGUCGGCCGGAGCUGUUGAAGCUCCGAUGUUUGUUCUCCUGCGAGACCAGGCCUCCUAGGCCGGUUCCAAGUCAAGCAGGCCUUAGGCCCGUGUGGGGAGUCAAGCCCAAAAUCCUAACCCAAUUUCCUUUUUAUUGUUUUUAUUUAAUUGUUAUUUGUUUUAAGACCCUAAAGGCCUUCGGGCCGAUAAGUUGAAGGCUUGAAGCCCGUGACCCAACCCAAAACCCUUUUUAGGUUUUGUUAUUUUUCUGAUUUAGAAAGAAGGCCUUGGGCCAAUUAGAAAGUGGGUUUUUAGCCCUUUCCCUUUUAAACCCUUUAACCUUAGUUAAGCCCAAAACCCUUAAGGCCCUUAAGGCCCUUUCGGCCCAACCCAAAACCAAAGCCCAGUCUGACCUUUGACAGUUUGACCGUUGACUUUGACUUUGACCGGUCAACGGUCAGCGUUGACUUUUUGAGUUGACUUUUCGGGGUUUCAGGGCCUUUCCUAGGCUAAUUUCGACGUCCUGGACCCGUUUUUGAAGUCUAUUUUCCCAAAUUCAAUCGUUUGAAUAGAGUUUGACUAAAGGUACUCCUUUAUGUGAUUAAGUGCAAUUACUAACGGUGAUUCCGUUAUUCCUUGUUGGUAUAGCUUUGCACCAUCGGUGUAAGGUGAGUGGACCCCUUCUAAAAUGCAUGUUUUAAUAGUAGAAAUGCAUACAUGAAAAACAUGAUUUGAUGAUUACGUUUUAUGAAACGUUUUGUGAGAUAACAUGCUUACUGAUGCUACUUUGAAUUAUUACUAUUUUUCCUAUAACCCGUGUUCUUAUAGAAUAUCUGAUGGAUGACGAUAUGAUAUUUAGAACAUGUUUCGAACACCUCUUUAUAGUAUAGAUGAUGAAUGACUUUAUACUAUGAAGUUGCCUUUCAACAUAUAUAUGUUCAAUGGUUUUGUACUUACCUAGUGGUCCUUUACGCUACGGGAUGUAGGGAUAGAUUCCGGUCCGUCCCAGACGACGAUUUGGUGUUAGCAUAGGGCCUGGAGUGUGUUUUCUCUGGCUAUUUAGCACAAGGACGGGGAGCCGGCAUGGGGCCUGGGGGUUAUCAGACAAUUCACUAAUAAUUAUUAUAUAUACAAGUUAUGAUUUGAGACACUGCACGACAUGCUAGGUUUCGGAAAACCUAUGUUGAUCAUUAUAUAUGUGUUUUCAUAAAACCUGGGGGUUAGUACGUUGAUAACUGUUUUACUAUUUAUAUAUCAAAUUGGUCCACUCAUGUUUGUUUUGCGCCCCCUUCAGGGCUUAGAAUCGAGGCAUACAAUCCCAAUGUCAAGGCACUUCCACAUUGGCAUCUUCGAGUCUUCUUGGUGUAAGAUCCAUUUUUUUAUUCAUUCAAUUUUAUAUUAUUUCUUUUAGUAUUCUAGUUAGUUGUAUGCUCUGAACACGUUCCUUAAAUGCAUAUUCCUCAUUCUUUUACAAUUAUAAGUUUUAUCUAUUCCUUGUUUUCAGCAUUUGCACUAAAUAAAUGGCUUUCGUCACCCUUGAGUGUCGGCCAGCACGUGCCUAUCCUGGUAUUCGGGGAAUAUCGGGGUCGGGGAAUAUCGGGGUCAGGGAAUAUCGGGGUCGGGGCAUGUCAGAAAAGAGGGGGAAAAGGUGGAAGGAAGACAAAAGGAAACAGAAGGAAAAGGCGGAAGAAAAGAAUGAAAGGGAGAAAUUGAAAAAUAGAGUAAAAACAGAGAUAACAGAUGUAGAGGGGUUUGAGUGGCAAACAGGCCACUGGGCGGGGGUAGAAGGAAGACAAAGGAGGAUGAAAAUCAACAAGAGAAGAAAAUAGAAGAAGAAAAGGAAAAUAGAAGAACAUAGCAGAGAAGGGGAAAAUAGAAGAACAUAGCAGAGAAGGGGAAAAUAGAAGAAAACAGAAGAAGAAAAUGAAAAGUGGCAACCAACUCCAGCCGAAGCCGGAGUCGAUGCUUGAGAAGGUGGACAAGUUGAAGACCCUCACCAAAGGGGGAAAGAAAACUCUCACAGAGGAAAGAAGGUCUCUCACGGAAUGAGAGAUUCACUUCUUCCCCUUCUUUAGAUUAAAGUAAUUUGGUGUCCAUUGGUUUCUCAAGUGGAGAUGAGGGAGAGAGAGAUCGAGUUGGGAGUUUGGGAGAUGAGGAGGGUAGGAUUGCCAUAUUGAAAAUUUCAUUAAUGACUACGGUUAACCUGUGUUAUAAAAUAGCUGGUUUUUUUAAGGGAGUUUUAACGAAACACUUCCGGUAUUGUUCACUUAAAUGAAAACGACAAUUUUACUUUAAAAAGUCACUUUGACACUAUUCACUUACAACACUUUUUUGUCAUUUCGAUUAAAGCUUAAAAUUUUCAAGCCAUUAUCAUUAGUUUUCCUAUUUUAAAAAACAUCUAUGAGAGAUGCUUUUAAUAGAAAUUUCCAAGGCCUAACUUUGAAUAUAAUAUUCCAGAUGAAAUAAGUCGUUUCUGCCAGGUGUUGACAUGUGUCAUGUUUGAUGACUUUUCCAACUUAUUUAGAUUUUUUGUUUAGACACACGCUACGCGUAAAAUUUAUGUAAUACAUGAGCGUUGAAACUUUGAUUUAUCGGUCAACAUUUAUUUACUGAAAUUUCGAUGUCUACAGAAACACUUAAAAUAAUUGCAAGAGUACAAGGUAGUUGUAGUAUAGCAGCUCAAACAAAGUCGUUCUCCACAGGGAUUGAAUGAAUAAUUUAUAUUUAAACUAAUCCUUAGCUAAUUAUUUGUAACAAAGUUUCGAAAAUGUCGAUUUUGGAAUUUAAAAUAAUAAAAACAAUUAAAUAAUUUGCAAAGUAAAAUGAACUAAAAAGAAAACGAUUUUAAAAAUCAAUUUAAGCACUAAAGUUCCGCCGUCACCAUUAACAAUCCUAUGCAAUUUUAUGAAUUACAUAUGAAAUUCUACAUACAUGCUUUGAAGGUUAGGUUUUCCUAAUAUAUAUUUUCCUCGUGAUGUUUGAGCGAAAACGUAUAUCUAACAUGCAACUCAUCUGUGAUGUUCAAAUCAAAUAUAAACAUGCAAGCCUCAUUAAGUUUUGUGAAAACCUUUUGAAAAACCAAGCAACCCUUAAGAGCGUGAUGUUCACCUUAACUGAACGUACAAUUACUAAUCACAAGAAGCCAUCCUCAAUUUCAAGGUGAUGUUCCAACAUAAAUUGCAUUAAAUUACUUGUCUAAAUACCCUAAUGGUCGCAAAUCACUAAGACAAUUAGAUAGUUUAAACACGAUAAUUAAUAAUUCAAAGCAAUCAUACAUUCAUUCAUAAGCAAAUUAAUAAAAUCACAUAUUCAUGUUAAGACUCAUGGUCUCGCCCUAGCAAAAAGACUAGUUUCACAUAAUCAUAAUAAAAACUAAAGAAAAUAUCAUUAACUAGAAAAAUAAAUGAAAACACCUUGUAGGUAAAAAAUCUGAAAUUUCCUAAAAUAAUGCGUCUCUCCAAUCCUAAUGGCUAAAUAACCUUAAUUGUACUACUAGAAAAAGUCUUCUAAAAACUAGGAAACAUAAUAGAAUAAGAUAACUUGAAAAUACAUUCAUAUUUUAACUUUGGAAAAUCUGUCCAUCCACAAAGAAUCCCACAUUUCUGCAUCUUUAGGGCUCCAAAACAGGCCCAAAACAACUUGAAUUAAAGAUUAAGACGUCAUUUUCAAGUUCCAAGAAGAUCACAAGUCCAAAAUUCAUCAUCUUGUAGCCCAAAAAGUCGCAAGUAAGCUCUAUAGUCCGAUUUGCCAGCAUUGCGUGCUGGUAUAAAUUAAUUCGCCGAGAUCAGAUGCUUAAGGAUAAAAUUACGAAAUUUUGAACAACCUUCUUGACAGAAUCACGAACCCACUUCAAUUGGAAUCACUCAAAAAUUUCACCAUUUGAUUACUUAAUGCUCAGAACAAGUUCGCACGUCCUACAUUGAAAAUAAUACAAAGCAUCAACAUUUCACCAAAAUAAUAACCAAAAUAUACCAAGAAUGGGAGCAAAUAUAUAGUAUAAAAUCAAGGGAGACUUUGGAUGUGGUCCCUAGUUAUGAACAGUCUUUGACUGAAACCUUGUUGGUUUUCAAUUUUUGAUCCAAGUCCCUGAAAUUAAUUGAUAAUUUAUUUCUAUGUACAUUACUAUAUUUUUAAAUUAAAAAUUAAAAUUUAUAGUUGUUUAUAGUAAUGAGAUUUUAAAUAAAAAACCAUAAUUUGUGGGAUUAAAAAUAUUAAAAUAUAAAUAUACUAUUGUGUGUGUGUGUGUAAACAUGGGUACAUUCAUAAAAAAUAACCAAAAAAUUAUUGUAUCAAAACAUGGGUACAUUCUUCAAAAUAGGUACAUUUAGCAAAAAUAAAAAUGGGUACAAAUAAAUAAAAAAGUAUGGGUACAAUACAAAUAAAACUUUAAAAAAUAUGGACACAAAAAGAAAUUAAUAUAUGGGUACAAAUUAAAACUGAAAGGAAAAUUGGUACAAAUUAAAAAAGGGUUGCAAAUUAAAAUGGGUACAAAUUAAAAAAAAAAUAUGAUAAAAAAUUUAGCCAUAAAUAUAAAUAUACUAAUUGUAACAUUUUUAAUAUUAAAUGAAUAUAUUUAGAAAUAAAAAAUAUUUUAUUAUUGAAAUAAUUAAUGAUAUUAUUAAUACAAAGGACCUUGAUCAAAAAUUGAAAAGUAAUAAGGUUUUAAUCAAUAGAGUAGUAAAAAUAGGGAUGAAAACCUAAUUACUCCUAAAAUGAACUCAUCAGUUACCACUAGAAUAAUGUAAUAGACGACAUGUGCUAUACACACUAAUUAAUUUGGUCAUUAUACUACACAUUUAAGCUAAAAACCGUAGUAUAACAGCAUACGAAAUGUUAUAAAGUGAUGGAUAUAUCUAAUACAUGACAGUAAUACACAAAGGUUGUUUGGUAAUAGCCGUUGUCGGAUGCAAAUAUGUAUGACGGUGAAAAAAAUCGUUGUGGAUUAACUUUAUACUAUGACACACUUGAGCACAACAAUUUUGUGAACGACGGUAUUUCACCGUCGUCCAGUUACUUUUUUUUUUAUGAUUAUAAAUCUUGAUUCCACUGGUUUUGGAAUGGUAACGAUGAUCUAGUAGAAAAUUGGAAAGUAAUGUAGUUACAUUUUGUUAGAACCAAAAAGGAUGGCAAAGAGCUUUUGUAAAAGCAGUCUGAUUACAGUUGUAAACUGGGAGAAUUCUUAUUGAAUUGAAAUAACAUUUAUGGUUAUUAAAUAGCCUUACAAUGAAAUAGGAAAGGAAACAACAACCCACGAUUUUACAGGGCUUAGAAUCUGUUAAACAUUAAAGUUGAUAUUUUGGAGAAUCUAAAUAGCCAUGUAUUUUUUGUUUUUUGUUUGUAUGUGCUGGCAGUGUCUAGAAUUAUCUUUUUGGGUAUUAUUUAUUAGGUCCAGCUUUAUUGUCUCUUAAAGAGAAAAAGAGGAGUCUUUAGAAAGAAACGAAAAGUCACUAGUUGUGCCUUUCCUCCUCCCUGUACCAGAUCUUUUUUGUGUGUGCAGAAAAUAGAAGUUGGAGUAUUUUUUUAUUCAUCUCUUUAGCUUGUUCUUCUUUACAUCUUUGUGUGUUGAUCUUGGGCUAGUGUAUUGUAUUACACUAUUGUUGUUAUUUACAGAAUCGUGGUGCAUGACUAAGUCAGAAAUGGAAAAACAAUCUUGUCCCUCAAGUAUAAGAGGGAUUAUAUGUAGGGCUGGAAAAAAAUCCCAAAAAUCCCAAACCAAACCAAAAAAAUCCCGAUCCCAAACCAAAAAAAUCCCAAACCAAAAUUCCCGAAAUUUUCAGGAUGUCAUCCCGAACCAAACCGAAAUUUUCGGUAUGGGAUUCGGUACUGCAUCUCCAUUUUUCGGUAUUCCCAUACCGAACCGAAAAAAAAUUAUAUAUAUAUUAUUUUUUAAUUGUAAGAGAAUUAUUUCAACCAUUGAUUAUUUUGGAUUUAAUAUGUGCCGUUGAUUUGUUUUUAGGUCAGAUCCAAAUGGUACUCUACUCUUUCCGUUCAUUUGUUUCCAUCCAUUGAAGUCUCGAAACGCAGCCCUCCCUCACCGAGCCCUCAUCUCUCAUCUAAUCUCUCAUCGAACUCGAAGUCACUCUCACGGUCUCACCUCACCCCAAAUUAGGUAAUUAAUUUAGUGUUUUGAAACCUAAUUUAUGUCUUCCUUUUGAAAUUUAAUUUAGGGUUUGAAUCUUGAAUCUUAAUUUCUGUCUUCGUUUUGAAACCUAAUUUCAAUCUUGAAUCUUCCCUUACUGGUUUCAAUUUUGAAGAGUGAAUGUUUUUAUGCGCUGCAUGUUUGCAGGAUUACCAGAUUGCUGCGGCUACCAGGAUUACCAGGUUUAUGCGCUGCAUGUUUUUUGCAAGUCUCAUCCUCUCCCAAAUGAAAUUGGUAUGUAGAAGGGAUGUAUGGGGAGAAAAUGCAAUAUCUUUCGAUGUUUGAAUAAAUACGACAAAAAAUUUGAUUGAGUAUCAGUGAAAAGCUUGCAGUAGGAUCAUCUUCAGAUUGUGAAUAUGUGUGUUCUACGUUUAAAUACUCUAUUGAGUCCCAACUGCUUACCUGUACAUAAUGCAUUAUGCAGUGGCUCCCCAGAGACAGAGCAUUGUGGAUGGAAUGAGGAUGAUAGCACUCAAACUUGAAUUUGGUGUAUCCCACAAUCAGAUAUUUGAGAGGUAUUUUUCUUUUAUUUUGUUCUACUUUUUGUUCUUAUCUUUCAAAAUUGUAGAUGUCUUUUAUUGAUUAUUAAUUUGUGCAGGACCCUAGCAGUGCAUUUUACAGAUCCUUUCCAUGUGAGCAAACGGGUUGCAGAUAAAUGCAAUGAUGGUACUUUGCUUCUCUAGGUAUGUGUGAUAUGGUUUUCAAAACUACACUUCUGUAUGUAACUUUACUUAUGCAUCCCUGGCUAGGUGAUUAGAUAAUAAGACGUGAAGUGUGUGACAUCCUAUUCCUAUGUGUUGAAACAUGGAAAUUGUUUCUGUUUCACCAGAUGGAUAUUAAUCACUUACUUUCUGAUGCAGGGUGUUGAUCCAAGUAUUCGAGCUGAAGUGUGGCCGUUUCUUCUUGGAGUGUAAGUAUUUUCAUAUCUAUGCGAUUGCUUUAAUGCUUCAAGUUUUGUAUGUGUUAUAUGAAAAUUAGUUAGUAUACGAUUUUCAAAUUUUCACCCUGGUUUUUAUUUGCUUUGUAGUUCAAAUACACGAUAUAUGCUCAGAUUUUUCUAUGUUGAAUGCUCAGAUUUUAUUUGCUUUGUAGUUCAAAUACACGAUAUAUGCUCAGAUUUUUCCAUGUUGAAUGCUCAGAUUAUUGAUUGGAAUUUGGAUAUAUGCUGAACUGUGGUUGUGAUAUAUAUUAAUGUGCAUUGUUAUUUUAUUUGUUAAGUAGGAUGAACGGGUCUAGUAGCCAAUCUAGUGCACAUAUGGUCUCGGUAUUAGGGGCCGAAGAGGCCAACAAUCUUCAUAAAUUUUAGGCUUUGUUUUUUUGCUUUUGGUUUGUAACUUAAUUAUUGAAACUUUGGCUUGGAACUAAUUUUUUUGCUUUUGAGUUUGUUACUUUAUUUAUUUUAAAACCUUGACUUGUAACUAAUAUUUUUGCUUUUCGAUUUGACUUGUUGUACGUCACUAUGGGCUGUUGAAUAUAUUUGGCAAAUUGCUUUAAAAUAGAUUUGUACACAGAUUUGACAUGUGUAGUAGAAAUAAAAUUGUUUUUUGUUGAAUUAGGUUAAGCCCAUAUGGGCUGUUGAAUUGAGUGACUAUACAAUUGGACAUAUUCAUUACUAGGCUGGGUGGACAGAUUUUGGGCAUGGCCCAAUAUUGGCUUUUUGUCCAAAAGCCCAAAACCAUUUCGGGAUUCCCGAUUUGUCCCGAAAUCACGAAACUAUUUUGGGAUUCCCGAAAAUUUGGUUUGGGAUCGGUAUUGAAAUUGAGAUUCCCGAAAAUUUUGGUUUGGGAAUCGGGACAAGGGUUUCGGUAUGGGAUCCCAUACCGAACCACCUCUAAUUAUAUGCAUGACUUGAAUCAAACCCUAAAAACAAGGAACCCUAACCCUAAUGGGUAGGAAGUCCCAACAACUUUAACAUCAUCCAUUAAGCUGAAUGUCAUUGGCAAUCAAUUGAUUCCAGGGUAUUCGCAAACACCCAUUCAACCUCGCAUCUUCGAAAACAUUUCAAGCUACAAUGGUUUUGUCAAGAUAUCUACAAUUUGCUCCUGAGUAGAACACUAUAUUAGCUCCACUACUUCAUCUUGGACAAGAUCACGAAGAAAAUGAAUAUGGACAUCUAUGUGCUUGCUACGGCCAUGCAUCACUGGAUUCUUCGAGAGUUUGAUGGCUGAAGUACACUACCGUAGGAUUGGAUUGCACAUGAUUUAGAAUUUUCAAAAUUCUUCUCUGGCACACAACUUCAUACACACUUGAUGCUGCAACAAUAAACUCUGCUUCUAUGGUGGAAAGAGUAACUAUGGGCUGUUUCUUUGAAGACCAAGACACUGCACCCGAAUUCAUCAUAAAAACAUAACUUGAAGUGCUCUUUUUGUCAUACUGAUAUCCAGAAUAAGCGUUGUCUAUGUAGCCAAAGAGCUCUUCAUCUCCUCAUUUCUUAAAGACACCCCAAAGCUAGUUGUGCUCUUCACAUACCUUAGAACUCUUUUUGCUGCCAUCAAAUGAGUCUAUGUGGGACGUUCCAUGUACAUACUAGUUAAGCUUACAACAAACAUUAAAUCAGGACAUGUGGCAGCUAGAUACAUAAGAUUUCCCACCAUCUACUUGUAAACCUUGUCAUCGACUCCCACUCAUUAUUCAUCCCUUGUAAGCUUAAACCCAAAAACCACUAGAUUGUGCACUGAGUUGCACUAGUCCAUAUUAAAUCUCUCCACAAGUUCUUGAGCGUACUUCUGUUAGCUAAUAAAGAUGUUAUCUAAUAUUUGCAACACUUCAAUGCCAAGGAAAUAUCUCAUUUUCUUGAGAUUAGUCAUAUAAAAUUCAACCAUCGUGGACUUCUUAAAUUGUUCGAACAUAACUUCAUCAUUGCCAGUAAAUAUAAGAUCAUCAACAUAAAGACACUUUCAAUAAUUUACCUCCAUCCGUUGUUUUAAUGAACAGAGUAUGCUCGUAGGACAUUUGUUGAAGCCUUCCUUAACAAAGUAUGACUCUAUACGACUGUACUAGGCUCAGGGAGCCUGUUGAGUUCAUACAAAGCCUUCUUGAGCAAAUAGACCUUGGAUUUAUUCCCCUUUUGUUCAUAACCAGGAGGUUGAUCGACAAACACCUUUUCAUUAAUUUCUCCAUGCAGAAAGGCUGAUUUGACAUCAAGUUGGUAAAUCAACCAACUUUUCUGAGUAGCAAGGGAAAGUACAAUUCGAAUUGUAUCCAAGUGAGCCACUGGUGUGAACACUUCAGCAUAAUCUACCCAUAUUGUUAGAUGUAUCCCUUAGCGAAUAGCCAUGCCUUAUACUUGUCGACUUCCCUAUGCUCAUUGAGUUUUGUUUCAAGACCCACUUCACUUCAAUGGUUUUUGCCCUAAUGGUAGAUUCGUUAGUUCUCACAUCUCAUUCCUCUUUAUAGCUUCAAUUUCUUGAUCCAUAGCUUACCUCCAUUUUUCACAAUAUCCUCAAAUGUCUAGGGAUAACUGUCAGUGAACAAAGCUAGAUGAGCUAUGUUUACACCUUCUUCAUCAAAGAAACCUUGACCAGUUUCAUAAUCUCCCAUCCACACUGGUGGUCUUCGUGUUCGUCCUUUUGUGAGGUGAGUUGUCAUUAUUCAAGGUGUCUUCUUCUUCUAAAAAGUCACUGCUAUCAGUCCUACCGUCCUCCAAUUCUUCAUUAGCUUUAGACUCAUCUCCAUUGCCUUUAUCUUUUAUACUUGCUUAUUCGUUAGUUUCCCAUUCAAGAUCAGCCAAUAUGGCUUGCUUGUGACUGCAUCCAUACUCCAUUUUUUAUCUUCCUUAAAGACCACAUCUCGGUUUACAAUUAUUUUGUGAAAUGGGAUCAAUCUGCCUGUAAGCUUUAGACUCUUCACUUACUCCAAGUAAUAUGCAUUUGAGACUCUUGGCAUCAAGCUCCACUCUCUUGUUGUCAGGUAUAUGAGCAUGGAUAUGCAUCCAAAGAUUCUGAAAUGCUCCACUAAUGGUUUAAGUCCGCUCCAACCUUUUUAGGUAUUUCUCUCUUCACAGCAAGGGUCCGACUUCUAUUCAGCACAUGAACCAUCCAGUUUACAGCUUCAUACCAAUAAGUUUUAGAAAUUUUCUUCUCAGGCGACAUGCUUUGUACCAUAUUCAUAAUGGUUCGAUUUUUCCUCUCGGCAACACCGUUUUGUUAGGGAGUAUAUGUAGUCGUCAAUUGCAUGUGUAUUCCAUUCUUAUUACAGAAGUUUGUGAAUUCUUAUAAUGUGAACUCGCUCUCACGAUCUGUUCUAAAACUCUGUAUGAAUGCUCUAGUUUCAUUCUCGACCCUGGCUUUGUAGGUUUUGAAUGUGGCAAAGGCUUCUGAUUUUUCUACCAAGAAAUAAACCCAAGUUUUUCUACUGAAAUUGUUAAUAAAGGUGAUGAGAUACCUUUUCUUGCUGUUCGAGAUUGGAUUUAUCAAACCAUAUAUAUCAGCAUGCACCAAUUGAAGAAUUUUGAAGGCUCUCUAUAUACUUUCCUUUGGGAAUGGAUCAUGGUGUUGUCUUCCCACCAAACAGUCUUCACAUAUUCUCUAAGUAGCUUUGAACUGAGGUUACCCUUCAAUCAUCUUCUUUUGUUGAAGUACUUUGAGUCCAUUCCAGCUAAAAUGUCCAUAUUGACAGUGCUAAAGCAUGGCUUGAUUUGUGGUCUGUGAGGAGAAAUAUUUUUGCUCUCUUAGUGGACAGCGAGCAAGCACAUCAAGCAAACAUUCUAUUAUAUGUUAUCUCAGGAUGAAAGAUCUUACAUUUUCCAUGUUGAAUAAGCACAACGAGUCUCUUCUCUUGUAGUUGCUCGAUGCUUAACAAGUUGUUCUUCAGUUCUGGUACAAAGAAGACUCAUGUGAUCACAUGUGCAAUCUCAUUCACCUUUAUUUGAACCUUGCCUUUACUUCGUACAAUAAGGCUCGAGUCAUUUCUCAGCUUCACAGACUCUCUGAAAUUUCUAUCAAAUUCAAAAAAUAUGUCUCUUUUGCCACACAUAUGGUUGCUAUACCCAGAAUCAAGGAACCAAAUGUUCUCUACUUCAUCUUUUUUAAAGUCCACAUGGACCAUCAACAACAUCUCUUCUUUUGUUUCUGCGUAGUUUGCCUUUGGAUCCCUUGCUUUCCUUGGACACGUCCACUGAAAAUGCCCUAACUCAUGACAAUUAUAGAUUGUAAUGUAGAUUUCUCAAACUCAAAUCUACCUCUACCUCUUCCUCUUCCUCUUCCUUUUCCUCUUCCUCUUCCACGAUAAGUACUUUGACCUCCACAUUUUCCUCCUUGCUAAGCUACAUAAGUGACUUGCAGUGCUUGUUCAUCCGGCUGAUUCUUUGUUCAUGCACCAACAGGUUACUCUGAAGCUCGUCUAUAGACAAGGUUCAUUCGAUUCCUCAAUCAAACACACAACAUAAUCAUAUUUUGAAGUCAUAGACCUCAAGAUCUUCUCAGUGAUCACCACAUCCUCCAUUUUCUCUCUGUGAACCUCAUUUUAUUAGCUAUGAUGAGAGUUCUUCCAAAGUAGUCAUUGACUUAUUCCCCAGCGUUUAUGUGUAUCACUUUAAACUCUUCACAAAGAGCUUGCAAUUGGGCACACUUGACACAUGCCGUUCCUUGAUAUUUCUGCUUCAAAGAAUCUCAUAUAUCCUUCGCGGUAUCCUUCUUCAAGCACCACCACCUAACAAUCUUCAUCUCAAAUCCUAGGCUUGGACGAGAUCCUUCUCUCUUCCUUUUUCUUUUCCUUUGCACAGUAGUGCCUUUACUAUGCAUCCCUUUCUUUGGCAAGUUAUCACCGUUUUCGGCGAAGGUAAGCCACGAACUCCUUCGAUCUUCCUCCCUCGUGGUCUAAAGUAUUUGUUUGAUGAUAAAUAAUGACUUUGGUGAAUGGUUUAAUCACAAAAACUGCUAUGGGAAUUUUUUUCCAUAUUCGGGGAAGUGGGAGACCGUGACUGUUUCGCCACUUUCAAGCCAUUUUUCAAGCCAGCUCCGAUCCUCAUUGGGCCUCGAAAGGGUAUAAAUCUCUUCCCUACAUUUCUAACUUUACAUAGGAUCUUGAAUCACUUGAUUUGUGGUUGUAUCGAGCUCGGAAUUAGCUCUGGGAGUUAAAUGAGAAACCUGCAAAAAUUGCAGAAAUUGUGAGAUCCCACAUUGGCCAGGGGAGUGGAUCAUCUAUGCCUUAUAUGUACAUUCUCACCUCUAAUUGGCACGAGGCUUUUUGGGUGCUCACUGGUUUCAGGUUUCAUCGAAACUCCGAAGUAAAGCGAGUUCGCGCGAGAGCAUUCCCAUGAUGGGUGACCCACUGGGAAGUUCUCAUGUGAGUUCCCAAAAAAAAACUGUAAGGGCGUGGUCGAGGCCCAAAGCAAACAAUAUCGUGCUACGGCGGAGGUGGGGCCGGGGAUGUGGUGAGAGCCCGGGUCGGGAUGUGAAAAUUUGGUAUCAAAGCCAAUCCCUGGCCGGAAGGGUGCCGACGAGGACGUCAAGCCCCUAAAGGGGGUGGAUUGUGAGAUCCUACAUCGCCCAGGGGAGUAGAUCCUAUAUGCCUUAAAUGUACAUUCCCACCUCUAAUUAGCAAGAGGCCUUUUGUAAGCUCACUGGCUUCGGGUUCUAUCAAAACUCGGAAGUUAAGUUAGUUCGUGCGAGAGCAUUCUCAUGAUGGGUGACCCACUGAGAAGUUCUCGUGUGAGUUCCCAAAAACAAAACCGUGAGGGCGUGGUCGGGGCCCAAAGCAAACAAUAUCAUGCUACGGCGGAGGCGGGACCCGGGAUGUGGUGGAGGCUCGGGUCAGGAUGUGAAAAUUUGGUAUCCAAACCAAUCGCUAGCUGGAAGGGUGCCAACGAGGACGUCGGGCCCCUAAGGGGGGUGGAUUGUGAGAUCCCACAUCGCUCAGGGGAGUGGAUCCUCUAUGCCUUAUAUGUACAUUCCCACCUCUAAUUAGCACGAGACCUUUUGGGAGCUCACUGACUUCGAGUUCUAUCGGAACUCCGAAGUUAAGCGAGUUCGCGCGAUAGCAUUCCCAUGAUGGGUGACCCAUUGGGAAGUUCUCAUGUGAAUUCCCAGAAACAAAACUAUAAGGGCGUGGUCGGGGCCCAAAACGGACAAUAUCGUGCUACGGCGAAGGUAGGGUCAGAGAUGUGGUAGGGGCCCUGGUCGGGAUGUGACAUAAGGCGAGUAUAGCGUACUCGUGGGCUCGUGAAGCACACGGGCCUCCACUAGGGGUACUAUGGAUGGCGUUGCCGAUGAUUUUUCCGGCCAACUUUCUAGUAACCCAACUUAGCACGUGGUGACUCGGGCCGUCACCCCGUGGCGGCGCAUGCGAUGGCGAGUAGGGAAACCCAAGGUCUUUCCUUUGGUUUUUCGACAUGCCAAAUUUGAAUCUGCCAUUCGUUUUACCAAAGUUUGUCGUUUUAGUAGAGUUUUAACAAAUGGUCCCUAAUUGUGUUUAGGUGCGUUGGUUUGAAGUGAUCCCAUCCUUCGUAGUUCGAAUGGCUCUUCGGUAGCAUAAUAUUUGUGAGUGGACCCCUUCUCAAAUUACAUGUUUUUAUAAAAAUAUUAGGCUUGCAUUCAUGGAAGGCAUAUAUUUAUAAUUCUACAUUUCAUGAAUUAAUUAUGUUUUAUGAUAAGUUUAUGAAUUUCUAAAUUUAUGUUUUACGAAGAAUUUAUGAUUUAUUUAAUUUGUUUUUUGAAGUAUUUACGAUUUAUCAGUUUAAGGUUUAUGAAAUUUUAUGCUUAUGAAAAUCAUGUUUAUGGAAAUGCUUAUGAUUUCUGAUGAUGAUGUUUUGAGCCCUAAGCUUUGGUAUGAGAUUUUGAAUUACAUUUUAUGUGCUUAAUUAGUGGGUAAUCAUACAACAUAUACACACAACACGAGUAUGUAUACGUUUAUGGCCAUAGGACACAAUGGAGGAAUAGUGAGAUAUUUACAACAUACUCCUAACUUCACUGGCGAAACCAAUGUCGGACAGCUUCACCUUUGAGUGAUGGGACCUACCAUGUUUCUUCACUGGCGUAACCCAGUGUCGUACAACUUCACCCUCAGGUGAUGGAUAUGCAUUCGAGCAACUACGAUGCCCCUAUAUAAGUACAUUAGUAUUUUGAUUUACGAGCUCUUUUAGUUUUGUCUUUGGGCGAUUUCAAUACCACUUUUAGAUAUGAUUUUAUUAUCUAUGAACGUUUUCGUGGCAUGUAGAGUUUCGGGAAAAACCUAUUACGUAUUAUUAUAUUGUUUUCAAAACGGGGGGUUAGUAUGUGCAAAAAGAAAACGGUUUUCUUAUUAUUACUAUUAUUAUAAACUCUGGUCCACUAACCUUUUGUUUUUGUGCCCCCUUCAGGACCUAGUGACGAGAAAUACGACUCGAGCAUCGAGGCAUUUCCCUUCUAGUGAUCUUGUUUUCUCCUCACUACGCAUGACCUUUUUAUGUAUAAUUGUAACUUUAUGUCUUUCAUUUCGCUAGCACUAUUGUUUAGUAGUAUGCUCUGGACAUAUUCAUGCAUCCUUUGUUUCGAAUUGUUAACAGUUGGAUAUUCUCCUUUUAUUAUGACUAACGUUAUAUUAUUAUCAUUUCUUUAGCGUUUGUAUAUUCUUUAUGAUUAUUGUUUCUCUUUUGACUUUUUGAUUGCAUGCUUCCUUGUGUUCAUGCAUAUUCAUAUAAUUAUGGCUUUUGUCAUGCUCGAGUAUCGGUCAAUACAUGUCAUGCAUGUGUCAUUUGGAUAUCUGGGUUGUGGCGUGUCCAUCAAACCUCGGAAUGGCAGGUUGCACGAAGCUACUCUCGGAUGCCAUGUAUUUUGUUCCUUCAAGCUAGUAACUAUGUUGCAGGCUUUGAUCAAGCCCCAUGAUGGGGCUCUGAUACUAGAUGUUAGAAUAAAAAAAGGAUAGAAAAGAGCUCUUGUAAACGCAAAGUCUGAUUACACUUGUAAAUUGGGAGAAUUCUUAUUGAAUUGGAAUAACACUAAUGGCUGUUAAAUAGCCUUACAAUGAAAUAGGAAAAAAAAACAACCACCCACGAUUUUGCAUGGCCUAGAAUCCCUCCUAUACUCGAGGGACAAGAUUGUUUUUCCCUUUCUGACUUUGUCAUGCACCACGAUUCUAGGCCAUGUAAAUUAUUUUUAAAUUAUGUGCUUCUUGAGGUCGUGGAUCCUUGUUUCCCCGUUGAGUAUUUGACUUAGAGAGUUAAAAAUAGGGAUGCAAACUACUACGCCUACAAUUACGGCACCAAUACGAGAUGGCAGAGAAGCAAUAACGGAACCAUCGUUGCCAAAAAAAAAAUAGUUAACCAUACUUUGCCCGGGCCGCUUGGGCUCCACUGCUAUCAGGGCUGCACAAAAUGCCACCAACAUGCCAGCAAUGGAAUAACUAAUAAGACUCGUAGGUGUGGGUAGAUGGGUUGACAGGACAGAUAUAGGACUGGAUUCAUUAAAUAUCGCCGACACUGAGAGAGCGAAGCAAAGCGUGUUAAAAAACAUAAAUACUUUGUAAGCUCCUUCUUUUGUUAAAACUGGUGUUCCAUCGUCUUUAAACCCUCCUGGCGGGUUCAAAACGGCCGUAAAUGUAACGGUUGCAAUGACCGUCGCUACCAGAAGUUUCGAAUCAUUUCUUUUGAAGGUCUGAGCCAAAUAAGCCUGCAAGUUUUCUCUCGUAUUUGUAGUAUUGACCAGUGUCUCAGACGUACUGCUUUCCCCUUGGGAUCCAAAUUUCUUGAACUCCUGCUUGAUUUUUUGUUGAUAAUAUGGCACGGUAACGACAACGUCUCUUGCCAGGCAGUUCAAAACAUUGCGACUUUUUACGAUUUCCUAAAACAUAAAUAAAGAACUACACUUUUAGUAAACAUAUACAGGACUUAAAAACAAUAAGGGAACGAAUUUGGAUUUAGAUAUGUUCUACGUUUGAUUCUAUCCGAUAUAAGAAAAUAAAAUAGAGAGUUCAAAGUUGAAAUCCAAGGGAAAUAAAUAAAAGAUUUGCGUACCUUUCUUCCCGUGUUCUCGGCGAGCAAAAUGUCGCUAACUUGCAAAAAUUCUUUAUUGAUAGCAGUUCUGUUCAACCUCCUGUCUCUCCUUAAAAUAGCAACGAUUUCACUAUUUUCAUGAAUAGCAGCUAGAUGCCAAGGAGUGUUUCCAUCAUUAUCUGCUUCGUUUAUAAGUCUCGCAAGCCUAGGCGUCUUCAAAACGUACUUCACAACAUUUAUCUUUUCGCCUAAAACUGCUGCAUGUAGAGCUGUUUGGCCCUUGUGAUUGACACAAUCACAAAUAUCAGGACAACGUCCGAUCAACUCUUCAAUUAUUUGGGUGUGCCCUGCAUAUGCCGCGACGUGGAGAGCUGACAUGCCAAGCUCGUCUUUGAUGUAACAAGCAAAUUUGAAAGUUUUGCAAUUUUGAAUCAGUAGUUGAGCUGCUUUAAGGUUCCCUCUCAGUGAUGCGUAGUGUAAUGGAGUCCACCCUAUUUCAUCACGAACUUCGACCAUCCCAGGAUUUUUGGUAACCAUAGAUUGCACAAUUCCUAAAAUGUUGAUAUAGAAAAAUUAGAAAUUGUGUUGUGGGAAUCAAGUAUAUAUAUGAAAAUAAGGCAUACCAAGUAACGGUAGCUGGACUGAGAUGCAUAUCUCAAUCAUUAAGGAUAUAUUAUCGACUGUCAAUAUGUCAUACUCAAUAACUAAGUUGAUGGGAUUCCGUGCAUAAGAAGGGUCUAGUACGGUAGUACAAAGUAAUGUCAUGAAGUUAAUUACCUUUCUUGGCGAAGGGUAUACGAGUGGCUGCUGCGUGCAAAGCGGUCACACCAUUUGUUCCCUGAAAAGAAAGAGAUUCAUGAUCCGGAGUCUUUUUUAAAAUAUAAUCAGCAAUGCUGGUAGACCCGGCUCUAACAGCUAGGAACAGGGGUGACUCCCUGGUGCUGUAAAAUGAACAACACAAUUCAGGAUCAGCACUCAGCAAAAUCUUCGCUACUCCAGCAUGAUUGUAUCGAACAGCAACAUGCAGUGCUGUAUCCAUUUCCAAAUUCGGCAUUCGGAGUAGUUUUUUGUAAGCUUCACCGUCAGUUGGUGCCUUUUCUGGAUCAAGAUCAACCACUUCCAUAGGUUCCGCUUUUGUGUGCUCAAUGAGGAACGUUACUACUUCACCGCAACCUACUCUCGCAGCAACAUGUAGAGGAGUUUCGCCAUUCUUGUUGGUGGCCCAAAACCGGGGAGAUUCGGGAUUUUUUUUCACUUUUUUGAAGAAGUUUAUUUGCUUGAAUUCAGCUGCAAUGUGAAGAAUAUUGUUCUCUUUAGGUGUUUUCUGAGAGAGAUCAGCUGUUAGAAGUCCUUCCAAGAAGCCAACAUCACCAGUUGCAGCUGCUUCAUACAGAGAAGGAUUCAUGCCUUCCACCUCUCUCUCAGAUUUCCUAUAAAGUAUAAAGUUGAAAUAAGAGCACAAAUGCAAAUUGCAAUGGAGGAUUUGUGAACCAUAUAGGUUCACUUAUAGGAGGUUGCCAAUUGCAUGCCAAGUAGGCAAGUAGCCAUGCCAAUUGCAUGCCUAUCACCAUUCAAAACACUUGUGCCGUCCACCAUUCAAAAACACUUUGUUUAUUUUUUCUUCUCUUCUUGUCAGUAACCCAUUCAAAACUUUUUAUUUUUUAUAUUAUUUUUCUUUCUUUUUCCCACAUGGUGCCGGGACGGAAACCAACGGCAAGCUGGCAUCAAACAGGGGCAAACACGUAAUUUUAAUGUGCAACAAAGAAAGGAACUUGAAAUCUGGCAUCAAAUGAGGGGCAAAUCCAUCAUUUCACUGUUGGUGAACAGUGCUUCCUCUCACAUGAUGAACAGUGAUCUUUUCUGCUGAACUUUAGUAUAUAUAAUAAUAUAUAUAUACAUAUAUUAUGUUUUAUCCUUUUCGGUGUCAGAAACCAUGUGCUUGUGUUUGUCUUCUAACAUUUUUUAAUCUUAGAUUUUUGUCCACUACAAACCUUAUCCAAAGCAGAUGAGAGACGUGGGCAGGGAAGGACAAAACAGACUUUUUACUGUAGCAAAGUGUGAACAGUACGAAUUCAAGGUCAUUCCCACCCUUUAACUGUUGAUGAACAGUGCACGCUCUCACAUAAUGAACAGUGCCGAUCAACUGGACUUUGGCAUAUAUAAAUAAAUAUACACACACAUAUAUAUACUAUGGUUGUUGUAUUUUAUAGUUAAAUUUUUUUAAUAGUUUAAAAAAUUAAAAUCAUCGAAAUAAUUUUUUUUUAACGUAUCAAAACGAUUUACCCGAGUGUCACUCUCGUGUAAACUUGUUAAAGAUACAUUAUUAAUGAGUUCUUAUCGUGUGACCUAAUAACAAUCCAAUUAAUUAUUGUAUUGAUCCAAAACUCUUUAUUUUUAUGUUUAUGUGUCGUGUUAACAAAUCAUGUAAAAAAAUGUCCGGUUUACUUUUCAACUUUAAAUUAUUAGUUCGUUCAAUGUUGGUGUCUCUUUGUCUUUUGGUUUAAAAAAUGCACCUGUCAACUAUCAUCGUCAUCGAAUAGUCUGUCAGUCUUCCAAGGAAACUUGUAAGUAUUUUCAUCCGGAACACUGCCAAAACCAAGACCACAAUUUCUGUCAAAGUAUUUCAUACACGUGAAUAAUUAUUGUGGUGCGAUUUCUGGAACGAGAAUUCUCUCCGAAUCCUCCGCUUUGUGAGGAUUCCGAAAAUUCUUUAAUCGUGUCUGUUUAUCAUAUAUGAUACGAUUAUUUUUUGUCAGAUACUUAUUAUCCACGACAGACAUGAAUAAUUUCCACACAAAGUAACUAAAACGAUGGGGUAUUACCUAAGAACCAAUGAAGUGAAACUUUGCUUGCUAUGUAUGGAUAUGCAUGCUAUAAGAAACCAUUCAUUUGUAGAUCAUAUUACGUCAUCAGUAUUAUACUCAUACUCUCAGGUGAUCAACCUACUACAUGAGGAAAACACGGAAAAGGCAAAGCAUAAAAGUAGAAGACAAUAUUUGAGCAUCUAGCAGGAAUAGUUAGUUUUUGAAAAAAAUUGCUAAACAGUCUUACAAAUUCAAUUGUUAAACGUUACACUAUGACCUAAGAUAAAAAUAAAGUAUAGGGAACUUUAACGAAAAACUCCCGGUACAGUUCACUUUAACGAAAAACCACAUUUUUACACUAAAAAGUCAAUUCUAAUACUAUUCUCUUUACCCUUUAUUUUGUCCUUAUCGUUAAAACUCAAAGUUUUCAAGUCAUUUUCAUUAGUUUUCCUUGAAGUUAUAUAGUUCAUUCACAUAUCAAAACGAAGUACUAUCAAAGGAAAAUGAUUAAGAAGUUGAAAAUACAAAACUGGAUUGGGCAACCAUAUCUUUUAUCGGUAACUAAACAAAUAAUUUAGAAUUGUACAAACCCGAUUCUAGCUCAUCUGCCUCCUCUCAUCCUCAGCUCUGUAUUUCAAAGGCUGAGUAGCCACGUUUGGAGAAGUUGUCAAAUAAUCACCAUCUGAAGAUUGAGAAUAACCUCCAUUCACAUUGCAAAUUUUUUUUUAGAAAAUGGGACAAAUUAACAGAUUUAGAGUUAAUUAUUCUGAUGCAAACAUUCUUAAGAUAAAUUAAGCAGAAAAAAUGAAACGAAUCCAAUGAAAAUAUAGAAGGAAAAUGAUUUAAAGAAAAGUUAAACUUUAAAUACAUCAAAUUAGUGAUUAAUCAACUAGAUAGUUAGUCUCAAACCAAAGAGUCUCAAUGAUCUCGCAAUACCAGGGACAUCACUCUCCCUGUUAACUCUCAACUCCUCAACUCCAUCACUCUCUCCCCCAUUGUUUCUAAUUCACCUCUCCUUCGAACUCUUCGACUACAAAUUUAUAUAUAGCAACUUGAACUGUCCAUUUCAAAUCAUAUAUACAUAGGCAAAAAAGCAAAAACUAAACUCCUGCCGCAUAAAUUAAUUGGUAACCAAACAAAGAAAAAUUCUUGGAGACCAGAACAAAUCCAAUUGAAUUUUCAUGAAACGUAUACUUAAGUGCCCAAAAUUUGAGUUUUACAUCAUAUUAUGUUCUUCUUACACAAACAGUUUCUCGGCUGUUAGGUAAUUUUUGUGGCUUUUGAUCAAUAGUUGUACUUAUAUACCCAAAAAAAUAAAAUAGUCAAACACAAAUGAAAGAAAGACCUAUCAAAUUAAUAAGAAAUCCAAGUUAGAGUUGUUAAAAUUCACUUUCAUCUAUACAAUUCAAACUUCGACAUAUUUGUUCAUACACUUCACCAACUGUCAGACACUGCUAAUUACCAAGAUAGCAAGAUAAUGAAUUCUGUGAACAAAAAAAUGAAAAAUGAUAUGCAAUUUGAACUUACAUGCCAAAGAAGCUCCAUAAGAGUAGUAGCUUCCUGCUUAUUGCAUGCAUCAAAAGCAUUGCAACCGCAGAUCCUGAAAAUUAUCAAAAUUCAUCCAGUCAAGAGGCAAUAUCAUAGUUGUGUGAAGGUGAAUAUGCAACCAAUAAUCUAAGAUAUACCUGACAAAUUUGCAAUUUCAUUAUAAUUUCACACAAAAAAAAGAUCAAAUUUUGAUUCAAACAUCAAACAAAAUAAUCCCAUCUGUUACAGAUUGGACCAACCAAAUAAAGAAUCUAUUAAUAUGAUUUUUGUGACAGCCCGUCCCUGAUUUUAAGAGUUUUAAAGUUUUAAUAAAGGAUUUACAAAAAUGCCCUUUGAGGCACGCGCAUUAUUCGAGGUUAAUCGUUGUGUCGUGCCAUCUAAGAUUUAUUUUCUUGACAUAUCCUCGUAGUAUUCGUCACUACGGACGUGUGGGCGCUGACGGUUCAUGAUUUGGAGUUAUAUCGAAAAAGUUAUUAACGUUUGAAAUUUGGGAUUUUAAGGAAUUAUAAUUUUAGUAAAAUUUAGAAUUUCUUUUAUGAAAAUGGACGGCCCAGAUUUAAUGAAGAAUUAAAUGGAUGGUUGGGAUGAGAGAAAGAAGGUUUUAUGUGUGUAAGUGUGUGUGCGUGACUGGUGAAGAAAGAAGAAGAAUGAGGAUUGGGCAAAACUGCCCAACCAGAAGGAAUAAGAAGACAGCUCCGGGAAAGAAAGGAGAGAAGUUGGGCGAAUGGGGAGAAGAGAGAGAAGCUUUUGGCCAAUCAGAGAAGGGGAAAGGAGGAAAGGAGAGAGGGCGAGAAGCGGAGGAAGAAGAACAGAAAUGGGUUUUCAACCCAUGACCCGCGCGACCCGGUGGGUUUUCCACCCAUUUCCGUCGAAAUUUCUUCACUUUUCCGGUGAGUUACUUCAAACUAUCACUUGGAAAACCCUCUAUGAUCUUCCCUCUUCCUAUUACACCCAAAAAAUCAAGGAAUUUGGCCUUGAAAUUGGUUGAAACUGUUCGGUGUGUGCGGUGGCUUAGUGUACAAAUUCUUCAAAUCUUGAAACGUUUUCUUUCAAUUACUAACACCUUUAGCAUUCCCUUAGGACCUAGAACAAAGCCCAAGCAUUGGUUGGGACGACGGAGUUGAUUUGAAGGUCGAAUUGAAAACACCCAAUCUAGGGUUCCACACGGAUUGUGGUGAAAUUGAAGUGUUUCCAGGCCAAAUUGGCCUUGGCCUCAGGUAUAAAGUUUACACUACUCACUGAGAUCUUCAAUUCUGUAUUUUUUUAGAAUUUUUGGAAAUAGUUGGAUUUUACGGUGAGCCGGGGCGGCCAACCGCCACCCUCGGCAGCCCGUGGCCAAUGGCCCGCCAAUGUCAUUCUUAGUAUGUGUUUAAGGUUCUAGGUUCAGUUUUUAUAAUUGAUGGACGUAAAUUGAGUAAUUGAACCUAAGUUCGUUACGAUUCGUGGUUAGGUGAAAAUAUGAAUUGACGAUCCGACCGUUUGAUCGUCACCAAACUUUGAUACAUUGUAAUACGUAAUAUUUGAAGAUUAUAGGAACUUAUGGAUUGGGAAUCCGAUUUACGAAUCUUCCGGAAUUGGAGUUGUAAGUUCAUAAAAUAGAAUGUUAACCUUCACUUGGUUUUGGAAAUUGACGGAGAUCCGACCGUUGGAUGGUAAUGAAAUUUUAGGAUGUUGUCCUAGAGGUAUAUUGUGGACCUUUGGAAGUUAUGGAUUUGAAAUAUGAGUUGCAGAUCUUUCGGAUCGAACUACGUAGUGACGUGUUUUAUAUAAGUUAUAUAUUCUAUCGAUAUGAUUUCUGAGGUUGAAUUUGAUUAUUGUUCUAGGCGCCGAUCGUCAUAACGCCUUGAUGUGUUGUGCUAAGGAGUUGUUGGGCGAACUCCAGGUGAGUGGGCAGUAUUUCUGUUUAUACCUAUAUACUAUUUAUAUUUUUCCCAGAAAUUGAGUUUAAAUGAAAGUACGUUUUAAAAUGUCAUGCAUGCAUAUUAUGGGAUAUAUGAAUUGAUAAUUGAUGUGUGUAUAUAUAUAUAUAUAUAUAUAUAUAUAUAUAUAUAUAUAUAUAUAUAUAUAUGUGAAUUGGUGCUGUGGACGCACAUGUGAGUAUCAUGUGAGUUUUAUGUUAUUCAUGUGAAUCAUUGAUGAUGUGAAUUGUGUUGAGAGCUCAUAACCUGCACCCCUGGUGUUAGUGCUUAUAUGAUUCACCGCACCGCACGCUCACCUUGGAUCCAAGUAGGUGCAUGUCGUACAGACCAUGAGAGUGUUCCGACAUGCUAGUCGUAUAGAUCACUAGAGGUGGUUCCGACUAGUAGGUGACUUUAGAUUAUGUGCACAGAUGAUUGAUGAGAGAAGCACUAGAGCGUAUUCUUACACCAUUCUUAUCAUACAGACUACUUUAAGUAGUUCUGAUUUAUGUGCAGAGUAGUGUCGUACAGGUCACAGUGGUGACUCCGGUUGGAUUGGAUAUUGAGCUAUAGAAUUAACCGUACAGGACCAACUGCAGGGUCUCCGGUUGAUUCUUUAUUUCACCUAUUAUAUUGAUGCAUCCAUAUUCUGUUUUUGACAUUAUAGCAUGACAUACUUUCUGGUUUUGAUAAAGAUUGAUGAUUUGAGAUAUUUGAAGGUAUAUGCUAUUAUGUUAUUUUCUGAGAAAAUAUACAAGUUUUACAACGAGGGGUUAAAAAUGUUUUAAAUGAAAUAUUUUCGAAAAACUUUCGUUUUACUGACCCACUCAAUUUUGUUUUGCGCCCCUCCAGGUUCUAGAUAGCAGAGCUUUGGUGGCCACGAGGAAUCCAACGGUGUUCUGACAGAAUUCACAAAAGUAGGACUCACCCUCGGGUGUUUCAUCUUAGUAAUUGUAUUUUUAAAGCUUCCGAACUGUGUAAAUGGUUGCGUCACACUCACGUGACGGCCAGCAUGCCCUCCUUCGGGACGGGGUGUGUCAAUUUUCAACCUAACUAUAAAAAGGAGAUUUAUAACGAUCAAUAUAAUUUCAACCCAACUGAAAAGAAACUAAUUGUGUAUCAUAAAUUCCAUGGGUAAUUUGAUUUUGCAGAUUAAAAAGAAUUGAAGAAUACUAAAAAUUACAAAACCCUAUCACAACAUACCAUCAGCGAUGAAUUAAAUCCAAAUGUAAACUGCAGUUUCUUAUAAAGCAUAUCCAAAAGUAAAUUGCAGUUUCCUAUCUCUCCGAGCAUCUAAACAGAAACUGUAAUUCAAAACUCUGAUUUCAAUAACCCAAAAAGUUUAAAUUGCUCACCGUUCUCUUGACCGUGGAUUACAUUAAGUAUAUGGAGUUUAAAAUUUAAAAACAAAAAAACAAAAAAACAAAAAACAGAUAACAAAUAGGGAGUAAGAGAUCAAACAAUGAGUGGUUCAAUUAACCUUUUUCUGUUGGUCGCGUCUGUGAAUCCUUUAAUUUGCAGAAUGAGCUUGGGAACUCUUCCCACCAAACUCCCACAAUCAACACUCCUGCGUCAAAAGGGAAAGGAAAAACAGUUGAAUAUUUGAACUGCACCAAACAGAUUGAUUGAUAAAAAAUAAACGAACAUGACACGACCAAUGAAUUUCACCAAACGGGAAGUAAUAAAAUAUUCGACACUGAAUGAGUUGGAAUAAAAACAAACACAACUGCAUUUUCUUAUUCUUCUCCCACGUUCAUGAGGCUUCUUUUUCAUCUUUUUCUCUUCUAAUUUCAAAGAACACAACAAUUAGCACAGCCUGCUAUAAGGUAGAGGAAGCACAUGGGUCUCCUCAAAAUGGAUGUCCAGGGUUGACCCUUAUGCAAAAGGAAGCAUGGGGAGCAUAAAUGGGAUAUCAAGAGAGGAUGUCAAGUAAAUUUGCAACACAAAACCCAACCAGCAACAAUUUGUUCAUGACAUCUUAAAACAUCAAAUUUCAAAAUAGGACAUUUAAUGCAGAGAGCUCAAACUAUAAUAAUUGGUGAAUCAAAUAUUUUCUAUUGAAUUUAUCCUUUCAAUUGGUUGGUAUUUUCGUUUAUCCUCGUAUCUUUCAAUUGCCACCCAAAACUAACAUCUGAGAGAGCAUUGCACUUCUUAUCUUUAAAAGCACGAAUGGUGAACUAAAUCAAAGAAUAAGAAUCAGCAAUGAACUAAACAAAAACACACUUUUUACGAACAUUAUUCGCACAAAAAUUAAAACUGUAUUGAGAAACUCACCACCCCAUUUCUAAUGAAUGACGUAUGAUGAUAGGAACAUCAUACAGUGAAUUGCACAUAAAGUAAAACAUCAAGUAUACCUCAAGGUGACAUUAGAUACGAUCAUUAUCCAGUCUUCAUCUUUGACACCAAGAGCACUCAACAUCUCAGAAUUCCUCAUCUCCCUACCCUCACAUAGCACCUUCUGCUGCUGAAGCAGUACCCGUGUCUGCUCAUACGCAUCGAAGAACAUAUCACACAUUCAAUAUACAUUUCUCUAUUAAUUAAUCAGCUAACUAAAUUUAAAAUUAGCUUCCAAACCAAAAAAAUUUCUAAAUUUUUUAUUUUGCAAUCACACCCAGUUCUUCAUCUCUUACUCUAAAUCCCAAUUACAAAAAUAUCUAAACUUUACUUCAAUUUAAUAUUGUUUUCCCCAAAAACAGCACAAUCCCAUAAAAAUAAAGUUAAAAAAAAACAACAAUAAAUCAUGAAUUAAAUUAAACUUCUCACCUCCACCUCCAACAGAGUUUUCACAUUCUCAACCUAUCAUAAAAAUAGAUAAAAAAAAAUCAAAUCAAAUUCAAGUAAAAGUAAAAAAGAGAACUUGAAUAUAGCAACCCUACUCCACCCAGUUCUUCAUCUCUUACUCUAAAUCCCAAUUACAGAAAUAUCUAAACUUUACUUCAAUUUAAUAUUGUUUUCCCCAAAAACAGCACAAUCCCAUAAAAAUAAAGUUUAAAAAAAGACAACAAUAAAUCAUUAAAUUAAACUUAUCACCUCCACCUCCAACAGAGCUUUCACAUUCUCAACCUGUCAUAAAAUAAAAAAAUAAAAAAAAUCAAAUCCAAGUAAAAAUAAAAAAGAUAACUUGAAUAUAGCAACCCUACUCCCCCUCCUUCUCCCUCUCCCUCUGCAAUUCACGCGUGCACCCCCUCCCUCUGUAACCCUCCCCCUGCGAAACCCCUAAACCCCACACGUAUGCCCUAUAUCUUGUGGCUACAACCUCACAAAUCGUCCCCAUCACCUCGAUCCCAUCGAACCACAAAUCAGGCACAAUUUAUGAGAGUAAUUGUAAAAAUGGAUAAAACACUUUAAAUAAAAGUUUUAUAAAAAAGCUUUUCAAUCCAACACCAUCCAAAACCAUAAAAGAACAGAAUAAAGACACCAAAAGUAAAAAAUAAAUAAAUUUCCACAUUCAACUUUCACAGUAUAAAAAACACAACUUUCACGAUAUUAAGAAAAAAAAUUGUUGGAGAAAAGGCUCAAAGGAAAAAUCCAAAAUUAUUUACCUUGAGCAUAAAGGGCUUUGAAAGAUGUAAACAAAAGCCCCAAAAAACGAAGAGCAUAGUGACCUGAAAUAAAAAAAUAAAAGCAAAUUAUACAACCGAAAGAUCUAAUGAUAUAAACAAAAUACCCAAAAUUAUAAAAACAAAAUUACAAAAAAUGAAGAACAAUGUGUUCUGAAACGAAAAAAAAAGAAAAUCAUAUGCCCAAAAUUAUAACGGACGAUUUCAUAUUUUGUAGAUAGAUGACACUCCCUUUUGUCAUGUAUGAUAAAUAUUCAAAGUUAUAACAUCUCAAUUCCACAUAAGGCAAUAAACAAACCUUUGGAGAGAUGCCAGUGGACAGUCAAAAGCUGGGUCUCAUGUUGUGGCAACGACUCAUGCUGCUGUUCAUCGAUCAUUGCAAAAGAACGCAAAGUUCUAUAUUGCUAUAGUACAUACUAGAGAUUUAUGCCCGCACGUUGCUGCGGGAUUGGAAAUUGUAUCAAAUGGUCUAGAUUAAAAAAAUCAAUUCAAUCAAGAUCCAUAUUCUCAACAAACAAACUGUAACGGAGAACGUGAUAGGAUUUGAUCACAAUGCACAGCGGAAUCAACAACUAAUAUUCAACACUACACAAUCCAAAACAGUAAUGAUAUUAAGUUUUUUUUAAAACCUGAUUGUACUAAGUGAUUCUUUCAAUAAUAUGAUAAAUUAAAUAAAAAGAUCACUACCAAUAGUUUAGAUUAAAACAAUCAAUUCAAUCAAGAUCCAGACUCCAACAGGACAACUAAAAGCAAAGAGUUGAGGGAAGAAACAACACAAAUGACUGGUUCCCCGAAAACCAUUUAAGUAGAGUUAAAAAAAAGGGGUUAGUCGUGACCAAAUUUAAGAAGUCACUAAAACCAAAGCUCAAUUGCAAACCUCCUUGUAUUCCAUGUAUGCAAUGACUCUGCUAAUAUGUUCACAGUCAUGUUGACCUGUAUAAAGAAAAACUCAUUUAGUUCAUAGCAAAUUGUGAGUCAUUCUGAAUAUAAAAACUUCCUUUUUCAAUCACCCAUCUAAAUAAAAAAAUCAACUCCAAAAUUGAUGGUCAGAAGUAUAACUAAAUGAAAUGAGAAAACAGUUCAAGAACCUGCCAAUGUCAAGUACUAUGAAUUUGUGGGAUUAAAAAUUGUAUGAAAGAUUGUGUCAUAGAAUAUUACUAAAAUUUACAUUGAAAACGUUAGAAAUUUUUUUACACACAAUAUACUCAUUUACAAAAGAAAACAGAGCCACUGAAACGAACAGGGAUAUCAACCAAUCAUCGCAGUACAAAACCAGUAAAUACAGAAUUCACAGAACUGAGUGACUCUUACACAAUCCAAACAUAGAAUUUUAGAUUGUUGGUAUAAGAUGAUUAACUCUAAUUACACUAACGCGGACACUAUCUCUGAAGAAAACUAAAGAGAAGGACAAAAGUUGUGAAGAGUUAUCAACCAAAGUACAAAGACCAUAAAGCAUGAAAUGUUAAAGAAGAGCAGAUUUCCACGCAAAUGAUGCAUAUUGCUGUCAUAGCUCUGAGAAUAGCUAACUAAACCAAUCUAACUCUAAAGGCAGCCAUCAUAAAUUAGAAAGCUCAUUCGACAAAAGGCUAUAUUAAAAAAAGGUUCAUGUAUAUGCCCAAUUACACAAACAAUUUUGCUAAGGAAUGCCUUUCCAACCUCCUCCUACAGCAACAGACUCUGCAUGUACAAUUUGAUAGUGUUUCUACCAGAUAAUAUAGCCAAUGGGAUUAACAAUUAUUAAAGUUGACCCUCCACUACAACUAUCCAUUCUGCUAUAUAUUCAUUCUCUUGCAAAACGUUCAAAAGGAUGAUAAGAAAAUCUUGUGUAUAUAAAUUAUAGCCGAUGGUAUAUGUCCGUUCUCUUCUACCAUUACAACCAAUGAGAUAUAUACAUUCUCUUCUACCAUUAAGACAUAUAAGAAAAUAACUAUUUAACCGAAAAUGAAGAUCUAAAAGCUAGCCACUGUACAUGUUCUGUCCAUUCUAUUCUACCAUUGAAGCAUGCAUGUUAAAAAAAAUUUGUAAAUCUAAACGCUUAUUUCAAACAGAGCAUGUCCAUUCAGCUCUUAAAACCGAAGGAAAAGAUUUAGGUUUCUUUCUUACCCAAAUCCACCAAUUUGAAUCAAAUCUCUGCAACCCUUCCAAUCAAACGCAAAUUAAUACAACCCUGCAAUCAAUAAACAAAACAAACAUAAAAAAUUCAACAAAGAAAGAGAAUCCAGAAACCAAACCUAUCAAUCAAUUCCUAAAAUCAACAAUAAAAAAAAAAUCAAUAAAUUAGUAUCUAACUCCACAAAUAAACAAAGCCCAUAUCAAAUAAUGAAAUCCAGCGAGUACCUCUAGAGUGAGAGAGACUUACAGGGAUCGCAGACGAAAACAGAGAAUAACACCAAAAAAAUGGGUACUGACUUAGGGGUUUUAAACGCAACAUGCAGCAACUAUUUAUUUUUCAAAGGGUUUUAAACGCAAGAAAUUUGCACAGAUGAUUUGGCUAAGAAAAAUGAGAAAAUCGAAAACGGAGAAAAAGGCAGGCGGAAAAACAAUGAGAGAGAGAGAGAGAGAGAGAUGUGAGGGAUGAGGGAUGAGGGAUGAGGGGAUGAGGGAUGAGGGGAACUCGACCCUUGGUGGUUGCUCGGGGGACAGGCGAAGGGAAAGGGCCCGAGGGCCGGUGGAUAGAGCUCUAGCGUUGGGCAGCCCGAGUGAAGGUGGGAGCUCGAGGGCUAGGCCGUGGAGGAUUGCCAGCCCUGCAGCCCGAGGUGGGUGUGACGUCAGGCUGACGCCAGGCCUGGCGUCGGUUUUUUUUUUAUUUUUUUUGUGUCAGGCACGUGCCCCUCACUUGCGAGUGGGGGCGCGUCAGACAACAGCUUUACAGGGCACAGGGCCUGUGCGCCAGUUUCAGCAGGUGGUCGUUGGAAAGCCACGUGGCUUCCCACGAUCCGUUCGAUUUCAACGGCUCUUUAAUCUGAGCUGUCCGAUUUGCAACGGUAAUAAAAAAACUAAUUUAAUAUCAACCGUUCGAUUUGAGAUUAACGGUUGAUAUUAAUCUGCUUUAUAAAUUAAAAAAAAUAGUUUUAAAAUUAAGAAAAGUUACCGUUGUGACACGUGGCACAAUCUGGAGUGUUAGAAUUCAAUUUUUUUAAAUCCAACGGCAGAGAUUAAUUAUUUGAAUAAAAAAAUUUAAAAAUUGUAAAAAAUCUGAAAAAAAUAUCUGAAAUUUUUUUUUAAAAUGUUUCUACUUUUCUAUAAAUACAUUCUCAUUAUCAUCUACCUUACACCACAAUUUCAUAUUUUCUCAACUACUUUCAAUCACAUUCCUAUCUUUCUCUCAAAGUUUCAAUCCAAUUUUUUUCAACAAAACGACACGUGGCACGAUGACAUUGGAUAAAAAUCUUAUCGAAAUCUAUGACCAAUAAUAGUCGUUUUGGGUAAAUGACAUAUGGCGCAACGAGAAUGAUUUAAAAUAUCUUAUCCGAAAUUACAAAUAAAUUUAUUUAGUAUUAUUUUGUAAAAAAAAAUAAUAAUAAUUUUUUAUUGCCUAUUGCCAGGGCUAUUCAAGUGCAACGGUGGAGAUGCAAAAGGCAGUUACUGUUUAUUAGGGUAGUUACUGUUCACAUGGUGGAUUGAAUAGUGGAUUGCCUGGGGGAAGGCUCCAAGGGUGGAGUUACUCUGAGAGAGAGGGGGACAUAUGGGAAUGGCAGAGAGCAGUGAGGGAUGAGAGAGAGUGACAGUGUUGGGAGAUAGGAAGUCUCAAGGGGUGGAGAAAAUAUUAGAAAGCAAAAACCAAACACACUUUUCAUAUGUUUUAAUCAUUUUUUUCUCUCUAACCAAUUUUUUUAUUAUUUUUUAUCCUUUUCGAUGUCAGAAAACAUGUGCUUGUGUUUAUCUCCUAACAUUUUUUUAAUCUUAUUUUUUUGUCCAAUACAAACCUUAUCCAAAGCUGAUGAGAGACGCGAGGCAGGGAAGGACAAAACAGACUUCUUACUAUAGCAAAUUGUGAACAGUACGGAAACCAAAGCAGAAACCAAGGGCAUUCCUGCCCUUUCAUUGUUGGUGAACAGUGCACGCUCUCACAUGAUGAACAGUACUGAUCAACUGGGCUUUAGAGCAGCUCCAGUGGGAGCUCGUGCUUGAGGGACAAGCUGCAGAACAGGGCUUGAUUGCACGAGGGAGGAAGUCCAGCGUUGGCUGGCGAAUGAGCCCGAGCAGGCCCAAGCGCCAGGCUCGUGGAUUCGUGCCGGCCCGAGCACCCGAAGGGGAUGUGACGUGGGCUGACGUCCCUGACGUCAGCCACAAUAUAAAUUAAUAAAAAUACAAAAUAUUAAUAAAAAAUACAAAAUUAAUACAAAAUUUUAAAAAAAAUGAAAACCCAGGCUUCGAACUGAACGACUCUCGCCGGAGUUCGUCAUUGAGGUUGAUGAUACACCCACAAACAAAUGGCAGAGACUAAACCCAAGGGUUUCAACUCGAAACAUAUAAAAAAAACAAGAGAAUAACUCAAGCAAUUGAAGUAGGGUAAUAACCUCAUCUGGGUUUGAGCAAUGGAAGCUUGAAGCUCUCGGCUUCAAUGGUGGAUCACCCAAAUGGUGCUCUGAUGAUGCAUGCAAGGAUAUAUUCGAGUUCCUCUCAUCCAGGAGAUUGAGAUUUCAGAGUUUGUUGGUUUGAUUUGCUUCGGUUUCGAAAAAGAUGAAGGAUGAAAAUGAAGGAUAUAUGGAUUGGAAUUUGAGCUUGUGCCUUGGCGUUGGUCCAUUUUUUGAUUCAUGUGAGAGAGAGAAAGAGAGGGAAUAGGAAAAGGGAGAGUGUUCUGGAAAAAAAAAUGAAAAGGAAGAGUUCUGGAAAAAAAAGGAAAAGUGAGUGUUCUUUGGAAAAAAAAAAAGAAAAGGAAAAGGAAUAGGAAAAAGGAAAAAAAUUAAAAAUGAUUUUGUAUUAUGUUAUAGAUAAAAAAACUAAUAUUUUAUUGCUUAUUACCAGGGCUAUUCAAGUGCAACGGUGGAGAUGCAAAAGGCAGUUACUGUUCAUUAAGGGCGGUUACUGUUCACACGGUGGAUUGAAUAGUGAAUAGCCUGGGGGAAGGGCUCCCACGCUAAAGUUGCUCUUAGUAUAUAUAAAUAAAUAUUGAAUCAAUUCCAAAAGGGUAUUUAUAGUAAAAAAUAUGCCACAUAUACUUUUUCUUAGAAUGUCAGUCCCAUACUUCUUCGUAAAAACAUUAACAGUAGCUAUAGCCUAUAAAAAUAGAAAAUCAACUGUUUACCUGCAUCAUCACAGAAUGGCAGCCACAAAAAUUACCCAGGUAAAAACUGAAUGGAAAAACUACCUGUCUCAUGCCCUCAGAGAGGCAUGGGAUCUUUUAUCAGUGCAAAAUUGAUUUGAUAUCAUUUUGUAAAAAAAAUUAGAAAGCAUAAAAUAGAUGAAAAUUAAGGCUUACAUGGUGAACAUUCUUUUUUUGCUUGUCAUACCAUUGAAUUUUUAUUGCAUUCGCAGAUGAUAUGCAAGGGCUGUCAAAGCAAAAGAUAUAUGUUCUCAAAUUGUUAAUGGAAAUGGAAACACAAAGGAAAACAGUUAUUCAUAUCUAAUGACCAAAUAAAACAGUUGCAUAAUAUAUGUUCUAACCAAAUAAAAGUAGGCCGACUUGGUACCAUUCAAGAAAGCCCUAUCCGCAUUCACCACAUCUGCAUAUAGUAGCAUUUAUGGGAAGCGUGAAAAUCAUUGUUGAUAUAUCAUAUAUCAACAACCAUCCUUAUAGAGAUGUGACAACAAACCAACCUGAACGAAAUGUAGUCAGAUCGAUUGGCGAAAGUUAUUAUCCAUUUCGUAUCCUACUUUAGCACUGGAAAUAGAUGCUUUAAAAUAUUUGCUGCCCUUUCACCCAACUAUGAACAAUCAAGAAAAUAAAAUCAUAUUCAAUAGAACAGUAACUACGCAAGCUAACUCAAAAAGAUGUAUUGAUGCAGUGAUAUAAGUGUACAUAAGAUUAAGACGUAGCAGGAAUGGAUAGAUCAGAAUUAAUAAGAAUUAAUCAGGGAGGGAGGGAGAGAGAGAGAGAGAGAGAGAGAGAGAGAGAGAGAGAGAGAGAGAGAAUUAUAUCACAAUCAAGGUAGGUUAUCAACUAUAAUCAAUCAUCCUCAUCCCUCAACCGUUAUAAACUAUCUCUAAUUGGAUCAAUGGGGUCUGAUCAAUCUUGGCAUAAUGUACGGAGCAAAGUAAGCAAUCAAGAUGCUGGAAUAUUUAAUUGAGAUAUAAUACCUUGGUUGUGAAACUGUCAAGUAUCAGAUGUGGAUAAACCUGCAUUCACAUGGCUUCCCUUUCUCCAGCCAAUACCACACAGCAUCAUGCUCAUCCUCUGCGAUUAAAAUACAACAACGAAAAAAUCAAAAUUAUAGCAAUUCAAAAUUUAAAAGAAUCAUUUUUUUUUAAAUGAAUCAGUGAACAAGCAUAGAUUUGCACAUAGAAAGAGAAAAGAAACAAGGAAGAUAGGAAUACCCACUCUCUGUCACCCCUCUGCAAGCCCACCCACCCUCCCAACCAAAUUGUUUGAGACAGAUGAAACCCUAACCCCAACUCUCCUAAGGAUGCAAUCAGAGCUUCGGGUUUCAGGAAGCAAAUGAAAAACGAAGUGCGUUUUCAUCCCUCACCCUUUCUACGAUCGUCGACACGUGCACGGGAGAAGCGGUGACAAUUUAGUAAAUAAAUCAAAAUUUUCAAUCUGAAUGGAAGAGGUGGUGGUAAUUUUGUAAAUAACUCAAAAUCCACCCCAAGUCACUGUUCAUUUGUACAGUGCAAUUUCUUCUUCUUCUUUUUUUUUUGGACAAAGGCUUACUUUAUUUAUUGGGUAAAUAUCAGUUUACUACCCUCAAGUUUCGUAGUUUUCAACAUUUAGUAUAUGAAGUUUUUUUCGUCUCAGAGUCAUACAUAAAGUGUUAAUUUUGGAACAGUCUCCUACAUCCGUUAGUUUAACUAUUAAAUCAGUAGUUAACUGAUGACGUGGCACCACAUGGACAAUGACUGGGCGCCACGUGUCAAUAUAACGCCCACGUGAAUAUUAAAAAAUUAAAAAAUUAAAAAUUAAAAAAAAAAUAUGGGCACCCACCCAUUCCCCCUCCCUUCUUCUCCUUCCCUUCUCUUCCCUGCACCCAUCGUCCCCGCACACCCACCCAUUCCCCUUAUUCUCCCUCCCUUCUCUCCUCUGCACCCACCCACCUAAAAUCAAACCACAUAAAAAAACACAAAUUUCCCCCCAAAAUUUCUUACCAUCUAAACACCCUCUGCUUCCCCCUCUUUCUCUCCCAGAUUUUAUUUGUAUCCCUUACAUCCCACACUUUCUCACGCUUUCCCGGAAAAUUUUUCAUCUUCAAAUCUUCAACAUGAGGCAAUAGAAAGGUAUGCCGCCUCAUUGGGACCUACCAACUCCGUUCGUCGAGCUUUCAAAGGAUUCAAAUCGCAGUUGAUUUGGAGAAAGAGAUCUAUAUGAUGAACAAUGAUUUCAGAUUGGAUGGAAAAUCGGAUGCCACUGGAGAGGCCGAGGAAGCUAGAGCUACGGUUUCCUAAGGCGCGUCGGUAAAGAUGGAGCUAGGUUUUGCCAAUGAAGCUUGUUUCGGGGAGUAAGGUUGGCGGAAGAUCUGAGGAAGAUAGGGCUAGGGUUGGUACGAAUAGUGAAGUUGGAAAUGUAGAUAAAGUGAUGGAAUCAAAUGGUUCUGGAAGCAUGGUGGCGGAAUGAAGGGUCACUCAGGUCUCGUAGGGUUGGAGAAAGAGAGGGCGGAUAGGUGGGUGUGCAAGGUGAGUGGGUGUGCAGAGGAGAGAAUGGAGGGAGAAUGAGGGGAGUGGGUGAGGUGUGCGGGGAGGAUGGGUGCAGGGAAGAGAAUGGAGAGAUAAGGUCGGAAGGGAGGGGGAAUGGGUGGGUGCCCAGAUUUUUUUUUAUAAUUUAUAAUUUAUAAUUUUUUUAAUAUUCACGUGGGCCCCAUAUUUACACGCGGCGCCCCAGUCAUUUUUCACAUGGGUGCCACGUCAUCAGUUAACGGUUGAUUUAACAGUCAAACUAACAGAUGUAUAAGAAUGUCCCAAAAUUAACACUUUAAGUAUGACUCUAGGACGAAAAAAAACUUCAUAUACCAAAUGUUGAAAAUCAUGAAACUUGAUGGUAGUAAACUAAUAUUUACCCUUGCUUAUAACACAACAUAUUACAUUAUAGAAGGCUUAAAUACAAGAAAUACACAAACAAAAAGAUGAACCUCUAUAGUAACCCAACAGCCCAAAACAUAGUUUUGAGGCCUGAACAGGAAAAACACCAAAGUAAACCCUAGCAGCUUCCUACCUCCGCCGUCAACCCGCUUACCAAACGAACAGCCCCUGCAACCAUCAAAAAUCAACAGAACUAAAACCCCAAAGCUGGAUGAAAAAAAAUGAAAACAAGACCCCAAAACAGAGCCUCAAACUCUUCCACAACAGACCAUAGCAGUAGCUGACACAAAUCGAAGGAAGCUAGCGAGACAAAACCCAUUAGCAUAGUGGCAACAAAGGCAAACCAAAGGAAGGAGGUGGUGUGAACACCCGAACAAAAGCUUUACUCACCUUCCGGGAGAAGCAUGAAAAAUCGCGUUGAAAAAAAAGUGGGAGCCAAGCCGAACUGUGAAGUCGGAGAAGGAUGAAGCCGAUCCAGAUUGGGGGACGUGGGGGAAAAGAGGGGGAAAAGGUGGAAGGAAGACAAAAGGAAACAAAGGGAAAAGGCGAAAGAAAGGAAUAAAAGGGAGAAAUUGAAAAAUAGAGUAAAAACAGAGACAACAGAUGUAGAGGGGUUUGAGUGGCAAACAGGCCACUGGGCGGGGGUAGAAGGAAGACGAAGGAGGAUGAAAAUCAACAAGAGAAGAAAAUAGAAGAAGAAAAGGAAAAUAGAAGAACAUAGCAGAGAAUGGGAAAAUAGAAGAAAACAAAAGAAGAAAAUGAAAAGUGGCAACCAACUCCAGCCGAAGCCGGAGUCGAUGCAUGAGAAGGUGGACAAGCUGAAGACCCUCACCAAAGGGGGAAAGAAAACUCUCACAGAGGAGAGAAGGUCUCUCACGGAAUGAAAGAUUCACUUCUUCCCCUUCUUUAGAUUAAAGUAAUUUGGUGUCCAUUGGUUUCUCAAGUGGAGACGAGGGAGGGAGAGAUCGAGUUGGGAGUCUGGGAGAUGAGGAAGGUAGGAUUGCCAUAUUGAAAAUUUCAUUAAUGACUACGGUUAACCUGUGUUUUGGUAAUAAAAAAAGCUGGUUUUUUAAAAGGAGUUUUAACGAAACACUUCCGGUAUUGUUCACUUAAAUGAAAACGACAAUUUUACUCUAAAAAGUCACUCCUGGCACUAUUCACUUACAACACUUUUUUGUCCAUUCGAUUAAAGCUCAAAGUUUUCAAGCCAUUUUCAUUAGUUUUCCUCUUAAAAAGCAUCUAUAAGAGCUGCUUCCGCUUUUCUGCUUUAAAUGGUUGUGAUUUUGAAAAAAAAAAGUUGAGUUUGCUUGAAUUACCAAACAAAAAUUCGAGCCUAGCCUUUUUUCACCCCUGUUUAAAAAAAAAAUUUUAAACAGUCCCAAACCAGUACUUGGGCUACUUUGGUUUUGCUGUGCUUUUAAAAAAAAUGUUUUUGUUGUGCUGUGAGAAUAAACAGUUGUAAAAUAAAACAGUUAUGUGUUUGGUAAACCUUUUUUUUUAAAGUGCUUUAACAAAAAACAAAAAAACAGUAUUCACGUGUUUUGUAAAUUUUAUAUAAAGAGAACUACUAAACUCAUCUCAUUGUCUUAUUUUCCCACCCACAUUAUAAACCCACCCCCUUAAAAAGUUAAAAAAUUAAAAUGUUAUUUCCCCACCCACUAUUAUUCCCAAAAUAACCUUUAAUAUAUACAUACAUAUGAAAUUAUAAAAUUGUAUCUUAAAAAAUAUAACAAAUAAUAUCUAAAUAAAAACCACUAAGGUCUACAAAUUCAAAUGGAAACGACAAAGGUAUCCAAAUUCAAAAGAAUUUGACAACAACAAUUUCAAAAAUACGAUGGACAAAUUCAAAUGACAUACACACAAAUUAUUAUUCUUCUACAUUUUCAAUAGAAACAUAAUCUUCUACUUUUUCUGUAGAAGCGUCACUUCCACAUGUUCAAUGAAAAUGUCAUCUUCUAAGUCCAUUGAUAUUGUUUUACUUUCUCUGAAUGAAAGGAGAUGAAAAUAUGAGUUAGGGUUUAAGGUAGACAAAUCGUCUCCCACGCCCAACCAUAUUUUUUUUUUAAAUUAAGCAAAACAAGAUAAUUAAUGUCCUUAUCAGUCUUUUUGCAAAUGGACAAAUUUGUAAUUAAAUUUUUUAUUAAAAUGUGGGUGGGAAGAUAAGACAUUGGGGUGGAAAUAACAUCAUUCUAUAUAAAACUGCUGUGUAGAUGUUAAAUGAUUAAAAAAUGUAUAAUAUUAAAUGUUAUAAUAAUUUAAUUGUUGUAAACAUUCCUAGUUUAAGUAUGAUUGUGUAAAUCCUAGAUAAGAUUUGAUUCUAGUUAUCCUUUCCUAUUACAACUUGUAUUACUUGGAGGAGAAGAAAUAUCUUCUCUCCCUUUACUACUAUAAAUAAAGGCACAAUGUAGGAGGGAUAACAACACACACACACAUUCCCCUACAAUUCUACAAACACACAUCUCUCUCCUCUCUCUCUCUGCCGCCGGCCCUAGUCCCUCUGUCAGAUAAAAUAGACCACAACACGUUAUCAGCACGCUCCUACCGCUGCGCUUAGGAAUCUGACGUUGGAGAUUUUUUUCUGCAUUAAACCAGUUCAUCCAUAUCAUCACGCAAUCAGGUUCUUUCCAAACAACGGUUUUUAACUCGAUAUUUUGCAAGCCCUGAUAGCAUGAACAUUCACCAUGAUGCAUGACCCAACUUUACGUUUUACGUAUUUUAGAUUCUACAUAAAUUGUGUAUGCUUCAUAAUCAAAAUUGCUACAAUUAUGUGAAUUUGAUAUUUGUCAUGAAUUGAAUCUUACAUAUGUACAUGCAUUGAAACUAUUAUUUGCAUAUGCAUCAAAGUAAAUAUGUGAUUCAUUGAAUUAUACAUGCAUAUAAUCUAAUUAAAUUGAAUUGAAAAAAAUAUUUUUUUUUGCGAUUUGGGAAUUAGGGUUCUUCGAACCCGUGCACUUGCACCAUGCAAGCCGCAAGCCACCAGGCCCGCAGCCUGCGAUGGCCCAGCUCGGUUUCCUCACUAGGCCUGCAGCCUGCAUCGAUCCUCCGAGCCCAAGACCACGGCUGGAGCUUCUGCUCCUCGUCCAAACCCCAAACCUGACACCCAGCAGGUGUCGCCACCCAUCCAUCACCGUACUGCACGGCCUGUCGCCGUGCCUAGCCUACUCAGACGACCUACAGAUCGUCCACGGUGUCCUAUGGUCUGAGAUUUGCUGAGAUCUCAUCGGAAUUUUCAUAAAUCCGAUUGAAAUUUUCUAGGGUUUGGUUGAUAUAACGUCGAGAUUUCUCCAAUCUCCGUUCAUAUUUGGUUCCCCAGUUGGACCCCCGUGUUUCCCACGAUCGAUAGCCUCCUAGAACACGGCCACCUACAGUGGCGGCGCUCCGGCAACCGUUCCCAGCAAAAGCUGGGGUGUUCCUAGUUCCAACCCGAACCCUAUUGGGCUCCAGCCUCUCGGCCCGUGUGAAAAAAAAAACAAUUUUUUUUGCUGGGCUCGCUUGCAGCGGCCCAGCCCACAAAGAAAACAAUUUGUUUUUUAUUUUCCUGGGCUCGCCUGCAGCGGCCCAUACCGAAAAAAAAAAGAAAUUUUGUUUAGGGCUGCACACAGCAGCCCAUUCAUUUCUCACCCUGUGGGCCUGCAGCCUACACCCGGGGGUACUCGGCCUAUAUUUUUAGGCCCCGAGAUUUUAUUAUUUAAUACUUUUAAAUAAUAUGGGUUUAUAUUUUCACCCACACUUUAAUUUGGCCUCGAAGACCAAAAAUAAAUUAAUUCACUUAUCAUUAUACAAUAUUUCUGCAUAUAUUCUUUGCAUAUUUGUUUGCAUAUAUAUUUGUGUUUGCCUGCAGGAAUAUAUGAACCUGAAGUUCAUAAUUACUUUGAAACCCGAAGUUCUUAUACACAUGCCUUGUUAGAAAACCCGAAGUUUUCACUUAAACAUAUCACCCAUGAAAACCCGAAGUUUUUCAUGCAAAAUUAAACCAAUACAUGUCUAUUAGAACCUGUAUGUUCUACUCCUAUGUGAAUGGAUUGAUUUUUCUCCAUUACACUAACCACAUCUUGUCCAUCUAUUUUGUGAUAGGAACAUGUCGAACUUGAACAAACUCGACUUCACCGCUUUGGAGGUUUCUGGAAGGAACUACCUCAAGUGGGUUCAAGAUGUGAAGCUCCACCUCACUGCAAAGAACUUGCGUCCUGCUAUUGAAGAAGCAACAGAUAAACCUGUUGGCGAGGCUGAAAAAGCCACUGCUAUGAUCUUCAUCCGAAGACAUAUCCAUGACACCCUACAAACUGAGUACCUUGCUGAGGAGGAUCCACGUGCAUUAUGGGUCGCUUUGGCUGAUCGUUUCGAUCACCAAAAGGACAUAUUCUUGCCUGAAGCAAGACACGACUGGCAGCACUUGCGCUUCCAAGACUUUAAGUCUGUGAAUGAAUAUAAUUCUGAAGUUUGUCGAAUCCGAUCACUUCUCAAGUUUUGCAAUGAAACUUUGACUGAAGAGGAUCUCCUGGAGAAGACCUACUCGACCUUCUCUGCUUCUAAUAUUGUCCUGCAGCAACAAUAUAGAGCUCAGAAGUUCACUAAGUUCUCGGAUUUGAUCUCUGUUUUACUUCUUGCUGAAAAGCAGAACCAGCUGUUGAUGAAGAAUUAUCAAGCUCGACCUACUGGGGCUACUGCUGUGCCUGAAGCACAUUAUAGCACUAAUCAGCACCCAAAACACCAAAAGAGGCGUGGUAAGGGCGGCCAGAAGCCAUCCCACCAAGGUCAACAGAGCCAAGGCCCAUCCAAGGGAGGAAACAAAGCCCAGAAGCGCCCAAACCUCGCUCCCAAGGCCCCGAACUUCAAGAAUAAGGGCAAAGCACCUGCCACAAUGAAUGACGAUAUGUGCUAUCGUUGUGGUUCCAAUGACCAUUGGUCCCGUAUUUUCCGUGCUCCCAAGAAGGUUGUGGAUGCAUAUCAUUCUCGUCGUACGAAGUUUGAAUCAAACUUCCUGCAAGUGGACGAACCGGAGACUACAAAGAUGGAGGUUUCUGAUUUUCAGGAGGAUACCACUCCUAUGGAAGAUUAGAAUCUUAGACAUAGACUUAUUUUUCAGUUAAAAUAAGACAAUUGGGGCCGAAUUCCACCUUGUGGCCGAACCCCACCUUGUUUUUUGGUUGAUUUUGAACAAUUUUCCUUUAUGUUUUAGAUUAUUAGUUGGCGAUUUAUUUUGGAUAUUAAGUUUUUAAUCCUUGAAUAAAUGAAAUUAUUUUGAAUUGAUACUUGUUUUUAUAAACUUUUAUGCAUGUGACCGAUUCAAAUUAAUUUUUCAUUCUAGGUAUGACUAGUGGGAAAGUUAGUUGUCUGGCAGAUAGUGCAACCACGCAUACUGUUUUGCGUGAACGCAUCUAUUUCACUAACUUCGUACCUAAGAAUGCACCUCUGACAACCCUCUCAGGCCCAUCCAACCUGAUCGAAGGAUACGGUAAGGCACGUAUAAUGUUGUCCAAUGGUACAAUCUUGACCAUUGCUGAGGCACUCUAUUCUCCACGUUCCGGAAGAACGUUACUCAGUUUCAAGGACAUUAGAGAUAACAAUUACCACGCUGAAACCCACGUAGAAAACGGAGUUGAAUUUCUGUGCGUAACUUCCUACGAAUAUGGCCAGAAGCGUAUUCUAGAGAAGAUGGAGCGUAACCCGAGUGGUCUGUAUACUACGACCAUACGCCCCAUAGAAUGCCACUAUGUGGCCGGCCUUACCACAGGGACCGCGCACGAAAUUACACUUUGGCAUGAUCGUUUGGGACAUCCUGGACGAAUAGCGAUGCGCCGUAUCCUCAAAACUUCACACGGGCAUCCACUAACCCGAAGCUUAGGUUUGAUCCUUGAAAUUGCAUGUCAAACAUGUUCUAUGGGAAAGCUUAUUACUAAGCCUUCUUAUGACAAGAUUCGUUCGAAUCCUCCUAUUUUUCUACAACGGAUUCAGGGGGACAUUUGUGGACCGAUUCAACCUCCCUGCGGACCAUUUAGAUAUUUUAUGGUUUUGGUUGACGCUUCUACACGUUGGUCACACGUGUGCUUGUUGUCCACAAGGAACGCUGCAUUCUCCAAACUGUUGGCUCAGGUUAUCAAGCUCAGGGCUCACCACCCUGAUUAUCCGUUCAAAUCUAUUCGAUUGGAUAAUGCUGGAGAAUUCACAUCUAAAACUUUUGAUGACUAUUGCAUGUCGGUUGGGGUUGAAGUUGAACAUCCUGUACCCCAUAUUCACACCCAGAACGGCCUGGCAGAGGCUUUCAUUAAGCGUUUACAAAUGAUUGCUCGAUCGUUGGUCAUACGUACCAAGCUCCCGAUCGCUGCUUGGGGCCAUGCAAUAUUGCACGCAGCAAAGUUGGUCCGCCUGAGGCCUGUUGCGACACAACCAUUUAGUGCCCUUCAGUUGGUCACCGGAUGCGAACCCGACAUAUCGCAUCUGCGCGUUUUUGGUUGUGCGGUCUAUGUGCCGAUCUCGCCGCCCUUACGUACAAAAAUGGGGCCUCAGCGAAGGAUGGGAAUCUAUGUCGGAUAUGAUUCUCCUUCGAUUAUUCGUUACUUAGAACCUUUGACAGGCGAUCUGUUUACCGCUCGUUUCACGGAUUGUCACUUCUAUGAGACAGUCUUCCCGUCGUUAGGGGGAGAUAAGAACGUCAACGUUCCUAAUGAACGACGUGAAUUAUCGUGGACGACUCCCACUUUGUCUCAUUUAGAUCCCCGCACCGCUCAGUCUGAAGCUGAAGUGCAGCGCAUAUUAGAUCUCCAGAGCAUAGCUCAGAGCAUGCCAGAUGUUUUCACCGAUCUAGCGCGCGUGACAAGAUCACAUAUUCCAGCUGCGAAUACGCCUGCAAAGAUGGAUGUACCAAAUGUACGACGGAUUACCCUCCUGGAAGCCCGGGACGCCAAUUCUGGUGAUCCACGUACAUUAGCGGCUAGCCAAUCAUCUGCCCCUACACAAAAGCGUGGCAGACCCUUUGGUUCAAAGGAUUCACACCCCCGGAAGAGGAAAACCACGGCACAAGGUCCUGAAGAGCCUACCGUGAAUCCGACUAUCGCUUACUCAUUUUACCCAACUCAUGAGGAAAUUCUAGAUUAUGGAAGCGUCCUUGAAGAGACGAAUCCUCCUCCCGAGAAUCGUGAGAUUUCGGUCUAUUAUGCUAGCUUAGAUGAUGUGUGGCGUAGAAAUGAGAUGAUUGUCGACGAUGCAUUAGCAUUUGCAGUAGCUACUGAGAUCAUGUUGAGCGAUGACAUUGAAUCGCGUUCCGUUGAUGAAUGUCGACGUAAAGUUGAUUGGUCAAACUGGAAACAAGCAAUCCAAGUCGAACUUGAUUCACUUGCGAAACGUAAGGUGUUUGGACCUGUAGUUCCUACUCCUCCAUAUGUGAAGCUCGUUGGCUACAAGUGGGUUUUCGUUCGGAAGCGUAAUGAGAAGAACGAAAUUGUGCGUUACAAAGCUCGUCUUGUAGCACAAGGUUUCUCACAACGCCCCGGGAUUGACUAUGACGAAACUUACUCACCCGUUAUGGAUGUGAUUACUUUUCGAUACCUUAUCAGUUUGGUAGUUUCCGAAAAACUGGAUAUGCAGCUGAUGGACGUAGUAACCGCGUAUCUCUAUGGGGAUCUUGAUACGGAAAUUUAUAUGAAAGUUCCCGAAGGACUUACAUUGACUGGUUCAAAUAUUUCCAAACCCCGGAACACGCUCUCAAUUCGGCUGAGGCAUUCACUAUACGGUUUGAAACAAUCCGAAAGAAUGUGGUAUAACCGUUUAAGUGAGUAUUUGACUAGUCAGGGAUAUGUGAAUAACGAACUAUGCCCUUGUGUGUUCAUUAAGAAGUCACAUUCCGGAUUUGCGAUUGUUGCAGUAUAUGUCGAUGACAUGAAUCUCAUCGGAACUCCUGAAGAGCUCGCGAGAACUGCUUCGCACCUGAAGUCGGAAUUUGAGAUGAAGGAUCUAGGUAAGACUCGAUACUGUCUCGGUCUCGAGAUAGAGCAUUGUUCGGAUGGAAUCCUAGUACAUCAAUCGAACUACACCCAGAAGGUGUUGCGCCGUUUUAAUGAGGAUAAAGCGAAGUCUUCGAGUACUCCUAUGGUCGUUCGUACGCUAGAUGCAAAGCGAGAUCCCUUCCGUCCGAAUGAGGAUGAUGAAGAGAUUUUGGAGCCUGAAGUUCCUUAUCUAAGUGCGAUAGGCGCUUUAUUGUACUUAGCUCAAUGCACUAGACCCGACAUCUCCUUCGCUGUUAAUCUUUUGGCAAGAUACAGCAAUGCACCAACACGCAAACAUUGGACUGGCGUGAAAGACAUCUUCCGUUACCUUAAGGGUACUACGGAUUUGGGCUUAUUCUAUCCCUACGAAUCCUCGAGUGAUGCCGCACCCUAUGCUCAUCGGGUUGAUUCUCGCCUUGUUGGUUAUGCCGACGCUGGAUACUUAUCUGAUUCGCACAAGGCGCGUUCUCAAACGGGUUAUGUCUUUACCGUUGGAGGCACCGCAAUAUCUUGGAGGUCAACUAAACAGACCUUAGUUGCCACUUCGUCUAACCAUGCUGAAAUUCUCGCCUUACAUGAAGCAACUCGGGAAUGCUUUUGGUUGAGAGCAGUAGUGGGCCAUAUUCGAAGCUCCUGUGAUCUUCAUCCCGCCGUUAAUGCCCCGACGACGAUUUUUUAAGACAACGCAGCUUGCAUCGAACAGCUCAAGAAGGGUUACAUCAAAGGAGACAACACCAAGCAUAUUGCGCUGAAGUUCUUCUUUACACAUCAACAACAAGAGCAUCAGAAGAUUGAAGUCACGCAAAUCCGAUCACAAGACAAUCUGGCCGACCUCUUCACCAAAUCACUACCGAAGGCGACGUUUCAGAAGCUUGUUCAUGGAAUUGGUAUGCGUAAACUUUCUGAGUUGUAACUUUGCUAUUUCUCUUUGGAAUUAUGUCAAACUCAGGGGGAGUAUCUUCUAGAUACUUGCUUGAUCUUAAUGUACUCUUUUUCCCUACGAUUAGGAGCAUUUUUCCCACUGGGUUUUUGCUACCUAACUAGGUUUUAACGAGGCACCCACCUUGGGCUGGUCAUAUCCCUGAUGACGUCCUGUAGACGUUUCUUUUGACUUUGCAUUUCUCACGCAUUUUUCCUUAGACUAUGGAUUUUGUCCCUACUUGAGUUUUUGCCAUAGCCUUAGGGUUUUUUAGUGAGACUUACUACUUAUGCAAGUUCCUACCUUAUUGAGAAUAAGCGUUGUUCCUUGGAAUCAGUGCCAACGAGUCGACUUCCUCAACUUCUGCAUGAUGUUGAAUCUACCUUGAGUAUUUACCCACUCAAGGGGGAGUGUUGUAAACAUUCCUAGUUUAAGUAUGAUUGUGUAAAUCCUAGAUAAGAUUUGAUUCUAGUUAUCCUUUCCUAUUACAACUUGUAUUACUUGGAGGAGAAGAAAUAUCUUCUCUCCCUUUACUACUAUAAAUAAAGGCACAAUGUAGGAGGGAUAACAACACACACACAUUCCCCUACAAUUCUACAAACACACAUCUCUCUCCUCUCUCUCUGCCGCCGGCCCUAGUCCCUCUGUCAGAUAAAAUAGAUCACAACAUUAAUUUGUUUUUCUUUUAUAAUUUUUUUAUUUAUAAUCUCUCAUACAUUCAAUCUCUCUCUCCUCUCCCUCAUUUUCUUUGCUGCUCAUCCCCCUCAUCUCAACUUCACCGGAUCUUCGGGUGUCAACUUAUCCAACCACACCUUCGAGGAUAGACAAAUUUGUUGAGGUAUAAAAUUAAAUAAAUAAAUAGUUUGUUUAUUGGGUUUUAAAUUAGGGUUUUGUUAUUGAAUUUGAUGAAUUUCUUUGUGUCGUGCGAAUAAGAUUGGUUGGCAUCUUAUUAAUUUAUUGGGUGUUAAUUUGGUGAAUUCCUUGCGGAUGAGAAUCAUCAUUCCUGUUAUCGGAUAAAUCAUCGGUCCUUUUAUCAUCCUAAGCAUUUCCGUCCAUUAAAUUAAUUAUGGGUUAUUUUUUAAGUUUAUUUUACUAUUUAAUCAUCGCAUUUGAUCUUGUGUAGGAUCUGAAAGGAGGAGAGGGAUAAUCGUUGGUGCAGUGGUGGUCGGUGUCGAGCAAGAGAAUAGGAAAGAGAUCCUUCCAGUUGUUUUAGGGACAAGAAUUGUCAUUUUGUAAAACUAAGGAGGGUGUUAUUGAAAUUUAAAAGUUUCAUUAACAUUGCACUGUAGCUUCGCAUGUUUUGAAAAAAAAAACUAUUUUUUCAAAGCUAUGACUUGUGGCUUCAGGAUGUUGGCUUUUUUUCACCUCGGCGGUGGAAAAAAGCUGAUUUUAGUGUGUUUACCAAACACUAAAAAAAACCCCAAUUUUUUCUCAUACCUGCUUUUUUUUUAUAAUUUCAGCCGUGCCAAAUUGGUACUUAAUCAGGUGUUACCACAAAGCAAAAAACCAUUGACAUUCUCAAACAUUUCUGUACAUUAGUAAAUAAACAAAUGAAUAGCACGACCCAGAAUAAGUGACCUCUCUCCCUCCCUCUCCAUGCUGCAGGCUACAAGGAUAUAACCUCUAUGCUCACACCAUAACUGAAUUAAGUACACUCAUCGUUAUCAGCUUUUUGUAGCAGUUCUCGCUGCUGUACCAAUUAUAUUCCACCCCCUCUCCCUUUCCCUGUGACUAAUAGGCUUCUGGCUUUCUUUAGUUCCGGCUCUUCUACCAUUUCCUAGCAACCCCCUGUGCGCCAUCCUCCCUCGGGUUCCAAUAGAGACUCUAACCUUCUCCAUCCCUACAUUCACGCCUUUUCUCAUAUGUGGCGGCAUUGGGGACUUUAUCUGGAUUUUCUUUUGGAGGCUUCUUCUCACUAUGCUGUUUAGCUUUUUGCCGCCAAUUCUGAUGACUUUAGGACUGCUACAAGGUGUCUGUUCCGGCAAGCAGUCAGUCUCAGGCACAUCUGGAUCAACUUUCUUAUCAGCAUGGCAUGCUAUGGGUGCCAAUGGUAAUGCAGGUGGCGGGGAUUGGACACGGAAUGGUACACUUGGGAGUGGAAUUAGGGAGUUGCGCCUUGGAGCUGCAGUUACUGGAAUCCGCUGAAAUGUUGGACAAAUGGAGGCUCUUCCGGUUUUCUUUGGAACAAGAAAUUGUUCAGCCAUUUCAGGGUUGUUUUCUUUCUCUGUAGCAUCAACAUGCUUGAUAAAACCAUCUGUUGUAUGAAAAAGGGGUGCUGUGGGUUUGUUGUUGGUCUUCUCCAUCAAUGGCUGCAGAGGGUUUACUUGAUCUUUUCCCAAUACACUGCCUGUUUCACUAAGGAUGUUGUGACUUGCUAAUGGUCGGCUAUCAAACGGUGACCUUGUGGGUGCAAUAGAUUGCUCAUCUUGUUGAUGUUUGAUUUGCUGAUGGUGCUGCUCGGCUAUCUUUGUGUCAACAUGCUGACGUGCCAGCUUUCUCUCGAUUAGAAGUUGUGCUUCCAAUUCUUUUACCUGAAAAAUGUACUACAUUAGUACCUGAAACUUACUUUAUGUAUAUAAACUGAAAAAAGGGACCAUUUGUAUACAAUACCUUGUCUUGCAGGUUUUUAUUCUUCAGGUCUCUUUCUUUUAUCUUCAAUUCUAAUCCAUGAACUGUUUCCUCCAUCUUCCUGAUCUGUACAUCUUUGCUCUUGACGUCUAGCUUUGUUUUCUCAAACUAGCAUACCAAAGAUCCGAGAUUGUUAGAAAUUUAAUAGAUGAAUUAUUCAAUCACAAUGGUGACAAAACGUCAAGGUUUUAAACAAAAUCUGGAAUCUGCAGUAACGUCAAGCACAGUGAAUUACCAUCUGUUUGUAUCUCAAAACUUCAGAAGUGUCCAGUUGCCUCUUUGCCGGACCCAACUCUAUCCCUCGCACUCUACUUGCAAAGUUCAGUGAGCAGAGUGUCUCACUCACAUCAUUUUCAUUAGGACUUAUCUGAACAAACAUGAGUGUCUUCGAGUCUCCUCCUGAAACAACGAAUGAUAUUCAUUAGUUUUACGUUUAAUUUAUCCAAGAAACCAGAGAAUAAAAAAAAUAUGAACUUGGAAUAUUAAACAACUCAGAAUAAGAAUUGUCGAUUCUUCUGUGAUCCAAAUGAAGUACCUAAAGAGUCUUGAAGCAAGUGGGUAAGCUUCGAGUUCCUGCACAGAAGACAUAAUUUAGUAAAAGAAAGUAAUAGCUGAAUGCAUAAUGUGGCAACUUGGCCAAUAUAAACAAAGAGCUAUUCAUUAACCUGAAAGGUAUGUGUGAGCUUUUAGUUGCAAGUGCAGAUAUGACAUCACCAAGGGAAGACAGAGAUCUAUUUAUGUUUUGAGUUUCCUUGAGUCGUUCUCCUUGCACUUCUGUCUUCGCUACACGCUCACUCCCUGCUAGAUCCACCAACCAGAGCUUACUUCUUGUGCAUUCCCCAUUCAACAAAUUCUCUCCCUUCACCAUUACACAGUGUAUGCUGCAUUUAGAGAGGACCACUCAAACAUUUAGCAAUCGAUCUUUGUUCCAGAGCCUAUUUGACACAAAUUAGAACUAACUGACUGUAACAAAGAUAUACAGACCAAUGUGACCGGCUACUAUGCUCAUUGGCAUUGGUUGAGCCAACAGCCCUUGCAUUACUGCCAGUUUGCAAAACUUCCCAGACUUCACUCAUGUUGUUUACAUGUGCCUCAACCAGACCUGGAACAUGAUGUAUCCCCUCACCGACUUGUCUUAUUUCUAGCCUACAAAAUUAUCGCAAUACUGUGAGAUGCUAUUAUCUUGAAAUGAUCCCAUAAUGUCCCAUCCUUUGCACUCGAAGACAUGGAACAUCAAGAGAACUGAACUGAAAGUAUCAACGGGUGUGAGGAGAAAUGAAUAUAAAAACUUGACAUGCAUAAUGAAUCAUCACAUUAGAAAAAAUGAAUCUUAAGAAGUGGAAAUAGAAAGAUUUCCCACUUUAAGAUGUAGAAAAUCAACCGCACGGUGAUAUUUUAAAUGCAAGCUAAAUGGGUGGAAUUUUAUGAAAAAAUAAAAGCAUGUCUAAUCAUGAUAAAUGACUUUCCUUCUACACACGAAUUUAGAAGAAACCACAUAUCAAGGAAUAUACAAUAGUCUAAGGAUCUUUCACCAGAUUAAAUUGGAAGGAUGAAAAAGAAGAACGAUGGGUAAGGAUCUUACCUUUUGGCAGCUGUUCCUGGCUGAUUCCCUGAAACUAGUAAAUCUCGUAUCUGCUCGUUGUAGACUUCUAAAACGCUAACUGAUACAUCAUAUCGAUGUAACUUUUUUCGCUCUCUAAUUAUACGAAACAAUUCCUGAAGAGUCCUAAAAUUGACUCCUCGAGCUUCUUCUGUCCCCUCCAUUGUAAAGGUUUUACCACUUCCGGUCUGCCCAUAUGCAAAUAUGCACACAUUGUACCCAUCUAAAACCGAUGUUGCAAAUGGAGCCGUGUCUUCAAAAACAUCAACUAAAUAGGACAAAGAAAAAAGGAAACAUUUUACUGUAUGGAGCUUUUGUACUUCUAUAGAUAUACCAAACAAAAAUCAUGUAUAUUAUUGUUUGUAUACCUUGUUCUGCUUGAGGACCAAAUACAGCAUCAAACUUGAAGGUCUUUCUGGUGACCCCAUUCGAUUUGACACUGAGCUCACCAUCUUUAGCAGAUUCAAAAUCAAUAGCCAUUGCAGCUCCUGCUGCAACUUCCUCAGUGUUUAGAGGCCUGCAACGGCAAAAGACCCGUAUGUUUCCUACAAGCGAGAAAAAUUAAUGUCAGAAAUCCCCUCUGUCUCAUACCCUUUUAGACCUCUUCAACUAAAAUAUAGCAAACUCCUAACCUUUCAACUCUAGCACCUUGUUGUAGAGUUCUUUCCGUUCUUUGGCCCCUUCAAUAAACUUAGUCUUCAGAUCAUUAUGCAAAUUGACUUGCUGAUUUACUAUUGCAAACGUAAAACAGUCAGAGUCAGAAAAAGCAAAACAAAUAUCAUAUCUUGAAAUUAAAAAAUGUCGUCACCUGGAACGCAUGGGCACGUCUAACUUACUAGUGGAAUGAAUGCUAGUCCUUAUUUCAUUCAUAUCUUCAAGGCACUUCUUAUAUGCCAACGCCUCCUCUGAUAGCUUGAUGUGGUCCAUUUUCAUGAUCUGUUGAGUCAAACUUUUUAAAUCACUGGAAUCAUAUCUAGUGUAGUCAAAAGGCAUCUUGUUUUUUAACAGCUUCGUACCUUCAGUUUUCUUGUCAAAUCUCUCAGUGAUGAAAACCAUCUGCUCUUCUCUUUCACUUGUCCCUCGAUGGCGAAAGCUGCAACGGGCAAGCAUCAAUGUACCAUGUUUGCAGAUGGUUCAAACGGUUAAGAGGCACAGAAUAAUAUUACCAUACCCAAAGAUCCAACAUGCAUAGACUUGCGCAUGAGUUCGUUUUGGAGUUCCUUUAAAGAAUUGCAGGCUUCUUGGCAUUCUUUACUCUUGGAAUAGUUUUGCUUUUUCAACUCCUCCAAUGCACUCCUCAUCUCUUGUAUUUCCUUUUUCUGUUUCUCAUAACAUAUUAGCAGCUUAUGAUAGUCUCCUUCUCCGUCGGUAUUACCUGUAUCCUGUAAUGAAAUGAUUUGCACAGAAGAUCUAAAUAUCCUAAUUUAUUUUGCUGCUAAACUACAUCGAAGGUGAGAGCGUUUAAGAAGCUUUACCUUUGGUGAUCCACAUUCUGCCAUUUGAGAAUCACUGCUCAGGAAAUCAUCAGUGCAGCCUCCGUUGUUGCUCAUAUCAGGAAGGGAAGCCUCCUCUAACUUGUCAUUUUGCGUCGGAGGCGGAAGAAGCUCGAAUGAAGCUUCAGGUGACAAAUCUUCCUUAAAAGUUUGGCACAAUGUGGUGGAGAACUUCACAGUUGGAGUCUUAUGGGUAUCUGUUACUUGAGACUCGUCGAUUCCAUUCUCAAAAGAGAGCUCAAUAGAAGAAUCCAUCUUCUGAUGGAACUUGCUUUCCAUGAGCUCAGGGGAAUCCUCAUAGCUGGUUUGGGGUAAAUCGGGUGACACAGCACAGAUCACCAAAUCAGGAGAAGUAAGCGAAAAACCCAUCAUCGAACGGCCUGGAACUAAAAGUAACAUAAAUCAAAUUCUAGAAAACCCUGAAGUCAAAUCCAAGAAUUCUGGCUAAAUUUACUGAUAGUAAAAAGGAAAGGCUACUCCAAUUUACCAUCAUUUGAAACUGGGUCCCUUGAAUUUGGCGUACUAACGACUUCUGAGCUUUCACAAUUUUCCCGAGAGCAAUCUACACGGACUGAAAUCAAGAAACCGAAAUCACUACACCUGACCGAUCCUACGUGCUAGUCGGGAUUCAUGCUCUUGACCGAAUUAGAGUUAAAAGCAGAUCCAAAUCCACAAAUCGACUCAUAAUUCAAUUCCCGCAAUUGGGAUUCAGAGAGAACACGAAAUCGAAUACUGAGAAACCAAAAAAGAAGUAGAAGUCUGGUUCUUUUCUCAUGAAAUUACCUUCAUUUGCAUCCGCAUCAUGAUAAACAGGAUCCACCAUUGUCAAGCGCUGCAACUGCGAGCAAAGCCAAGUGUCUGCCAAAGCACAAAAGAGGGGCAAUCGACAUUAAGUAAUUAUACAACCACCCAUGAAACUGAAAUCUCGGACUUACAGUCAGAGGGAGAGUUGUUGGUGGCGGCAGUGGAGCUGUUCCGAGGAGAGUCGCACUGGUCCUGCUCCUCCAUUAAUUGACAAAUGCCGAAUGUUCUGCUGCUGAAACCGCCGUCGUUUUGAAUUGAAUUAAUCAACGAUUAUGAUGAUGGCGAUGAUGAAUCUUUAUCGGCGAACCCCAAAAAGGUAAGUGGGAAAUUUGAAUCUGAACGAACACCGAAGGAAAGAAGAGAAAGGCGUUAAUCUCGUUGGUCCAUUCUCUCUGCGUUACGCUUUUUCGGAGGCAAAUGAGAGUCAAACGACCGUUGGCUUUUUUCGAAUUUUGAAAUGUCUUGGCCGGGGAACGAGCGUAGGUGAUCAUAGCUUUUCCGUACUGUAGCUUCUCCCACGUGGCACUUUAAUCUUUUGUCAAGUCCCUUUGUUUUUUCCUAAGUUGUUUUAGGAUCCUUUGAUUCUUUGUAUUUUUGGCUUGAUCUUUUUAUAAUGUAAGAAAUUAGAAUCAUAUCCAUAUAAACUAUUCAAAUUGCUCCCCAUCGAUUGUCAGAGAUAUUCAAACUCGAGUGCAAAAGAAUAGUACUUUGUCCUGAUUAACUGAUCUAACCCACAUUUCCAACAUCAUAUGUUACUCAUCAAAUAUAUAUUGACAUGGCGGAAGAAUUGUACAAGAUAUUCUUCAACUCUAGUCAUCUAUGUUGUUUGAAAUAGUAUUGUCAGCACUCCAAAAAUAUUACGGCGCAUUACAAUGGAAGUUUUGUAUAACGGAAGGGUGCAAGAUGACAUUUUCAAAGUGAGAUGAGAUGAUGCAUCAAGGCCAGAUCAUCAAAAAGAAUUUUGUAACUUUUUCUGGAACUUUAAUGUUAUGUGUUACAAGUGCCCUUCUUCCCCAAAUUGGAACUACAAGGAACUUGAUGAAUGUCCCUUUCCCUCUUUACAAAACAAGAUCAAGUCUACAUUGUAUGAAUUAUAUACAGUGUAAUACCAUACAACACAAGGGUACAUUCAUCUUUGCAUCAGAUCCUUUGCACCUCACACUCGAAAUUAAACACACGUGCGGGUAUUGACCGAUGCAAACCUGUCGAGGCGCUGAUCAUAGUGGCAUGCUGGACUGAGGGUGAUCGUAUUUUGCUUCCGUCAAAACAUGCGCAAAAGAGGGUUCUUCAAUUUUGCACCUUUCUUCCUGUUCCUUCCACUGCAGCUGCCAUUGAAGCGGAAGCCUCCUCAAGUGUCCGCUUCUUUUGAACUGUGUUGAAGAACUCAAGGCUAUCUCCCUCCUCCCAGUCGUCGUAGUCUUCCACCCCAAUUCCACACUCUAGUCCAGCAUUUACCUAGCCAAGAGGAGAAAAUAUAGCUCAUCACCAACAGACGACAUUAAAGCACGUGCCAAGUACCAAAAGAGUUCUGAACGCGGGAUCACCACAAAAACUGAGCCAAUUUAAAGAAACGCCAAAAACAAAAUGGUAAAAACAAGAAAGAACCUCUGUCAAAGCUAAAGAUUGACACCGACUAUGCACUUUGAUCAAAAUUAAUUAUUAGUUUUCGUGUAUUCACUAACUUGUACAAUAUAUAGUAUCAUGAACUAAACCUUUUAUGCCACAAUGGAAAUGCAGACACACACCUACGAAGAACGAACACAACUGAAGCUAUAGGUUCUAUCAUUCAGCUACUUGUGUACUUUGAAAUCCAGGCUGGCCGCAGAUCCAGAAGACAGGAAGUAUGCAACAUGCACUAGGUUGUGACUUUUAAGUAUAUCUAUUUUACAAUUCCCAUGCAGUAGGUUGCUCGCUCCCCUCUUUGCAAUUUUCUAUAAAUUUGACAAAAUGACCCAACAAUUAAAGUAAGCUAUAAAAAUUACCUCUUUCACAACUUCCUUGACCCGUUUCAAUGAAUCAACAAGACCAACAUGUACUACUUUUCCCCUUCGAAUGACCUCCACGCCACAGCCUUUAACAACUUUUCCCUCAUUUAUCAUGCAUCCAGCAACACGACCACUACCAGAGCUGAAUAUGGCCCGGACUUCUGCUGAUCCAAUUGUUACUCGUUCCUAUCGAUACACAAGUAAUAAUGUCAAAUGUAAAUCUCAGUCUGAAAUUUCCAACAACAUUAAUCCCCUAAAAUUCAGUGCUUUCAAUAAAAUUAAAACCAAAGAGAUAUGGUGCUUGAGUUUAUUGAUACCUCAACAGGCUCUAGGAGUCCUUCCAUUGCAUUUCUUACAUCAUCAAUGAGUUCAUAUAUAACUCUAUAUAGGCGAAUCUCAACCCCUUUAUUAUCUCCAUAGCUUUUUACAGAUCCUGGUACUUUGACAUUGAAUCCAAAAAUUAUUGCCUUGCUAGCAGCAGCAAGAUCAAUAUCGCUGGUGCUUACAUCGCCUGUUGUUUCCAAGAGAAAUUUCAAGGUGACAUUAUCUUGUGGAAGCACCUGCAGAGCUUGUCUGACGGCCUCGAUGGAUCCCUAAACAUGAUAGGGGAAUUUAUGGUAUAAUUACAGUAUAGUUUAAAUAAAUACUGAUUAUCAAAGGACCAGUUACCAGAUAAAUUUUUCAAUGUAGCGGGAACACAGCAUGCUACACCAAGUGUCAUGAUACAAAUGUUUGGAAAUUUAUUUUUCAAGUAUCCAACCAUUUGAAUUAUAACACUUGGUGUAACGGGCCGUGCUCCCAGUACACUGAAAAAUCUCUCCAGUUACCAAACGAAUUACUGACUCAUGACAAUUAGAUGAAUAUGCAUACCUGAAGAUCAACCUUCAGAAUAAUAUUUAGCUGGUGCAAGUCUAUUCCAGACAGCUUUCCUGCUGAGACUGCAGAAGCUAAGGAAGAAAGAGUAACCCUGCCAUCGCCAGCCUUAGCUGAUAUACGUUCAUUUCGCAAUGACUCAGCACGCAACUCUGCCCUUUCACGUGCAAUAUCAAGGGAGCUGACAACUUCAAAUUCAUCACCAGCAAUAGGAACAUUAUUUAAUCCAAGAACCUACAAGAAGACAAAGUGAUUGUCAUUCAGGGCAGUGAAACAAGUAUCAUGCAACAA